Molecule: long non-coding RNA, 72285 nt
Filed under: Lathyrus oleraceus (garden pea)
Lineage: Eukaryota; Viridiplantae; Streptophyta; Magnoliopsida; Fabales; Fabaceae
Description: Pisum sativum (pea) long non-coding RNA (PSAT_LNC032302)
Source: RNAcentral
UUUGCACAAAGAUAAUUAGACGAUGAUGUUAUAGAACUAGAUCCAUAAUCCAUUACGAUAUAAGAAAUAUAAUAUUUUAUUGAUAUGAUAAUAAGGCAUACAUGAAAACAAUGCUAUAACAACACAACAUAAGCCAUAUAUAAUAAUUCAAACACGUUUAAAGGAAGUGAGGUUCCUUAAGUGCUUCAAUGGCUGAUCCGACACAGCAGCUUCAUAAUUGUUAGAAGAUGAACCUUCUUUGGCAGAAAGAGUGAGGUGGUAGUUGGUCCCUGCAACAACCUGUGAUUCACCUUUGAUAAGUUUCUCAAACUCCAAUGUUGCUCCUUUUUGCUUGUUGUACUCGACAAGUGACAACUGCGAAACGGGCUAUUUCAAUCACAUAUGGAUCAGUGAUGUUCUUUAUGGGAGUCCAACCGCCUGGUAUAGCUUGAUUCAGAGUGGCCGAAGCAAACAAAAUAAGGAAGAGGAGACUAAGGGAUUGAAAUCUCAUGAUGUCUGUUAACUUGAGAAAUCAAGAUGGUGUGAGUUAAACUCUGUGGUGUGGAGGAGUAGUUAUAUAUAAUGUAUAAAAGUUAUGCCAUGUUUGGUGAUAUACUCUUUUAUUCGUUGAAUUAAAUCAAAAAUUUCAUUUGAUUUUAUUUCAUGAAAAUAAAAUAAUUUUUUUUGACCAAAUAAAUAAAAUCUCUUUAAUAAUAUAUAAUAUUUAAUAAACCUACAAUUAGUUUAAUAGAAAAGUAUGGUCAAAAAUAUUAUAUUUAAUGUCAUUCAAGGAAAAUGUUGUCAAAAGUAUUAUAAAUAAUGUUAUUCUAAAAAAUGUCAUACAAUGUUUCUGUUUUUUUAUAUAUUUAUUUAUAUAAAACACUUGUAUAAUAGGUUGUUCUAUGUUUUUGAUUUUAUCUUAAUAAAUGAUAAAAAAAAAUUCUUCAAUUUUUUUAAGUAAUAAUGAUAAGAGAUUAAUUACUAUACACUGUCAGUGUAAAAAGUUUUACACUGUCGGUUCAUCACCAUCACCCGUUUGUAUUACUUUAUAGAUUUUUAAAAUAAACGUCAAACUUCUUUUAAUAUCCAACGUCUAUAAUUAACUGACGGUGUAAAACCCUUUUACACUGUCAGUGUAUUUCAAUUAAUCUCUAAUGAUAAAUCCUAAAUGUCCCUGAUCACCGUAUUUGAACCCCGACAACUUCAUGUCACUCUUGCUGCCAAACAAUGAACCCCGUUCUCCAUUUGAACCCCAAUCGCCUGACGAUAACUCUCGAUCGUCAUUAUGAACCCCAUUCUCCAGAAAACAUCCCGUGUCUCCUUUUCUCCAUUUGAACCCCGUUCUCCAUUCUCCCGUGCUAAUUCCGUUAGCAACGUCGGAAAUAACACCAACCACCACUCAGACGGCGACAUAUCAGAGGGUAUACCUUCACAACAGGAAGGUAACAUGUGCAUUUCUUCCUCGGAAGACACCCAUAACGACUUCUCCUGGCCUCAGCCAAAGUCUAAGGUGACACAUGAUCAGAAGACAAUCCUGAGGACCUCAUCCCGGAUACAAUCUUCAAUCUCCAUCUCCAGUUGAACCCCGUUCUCCAGAAAAUGCGCAACACUUCCUUUUCUCCUGGUGGACCCCAAUCUCCGCUCAUCGUGUAACGUUCUCCGAUCUUCAUUUCCAUCUCCGCCUGACGGAAUCCCUUCCUCCAAUAUCGCGCUACUGGGGAAAAUUGUUGAUCCAAUGUCACGAUGCUAAACUCCUCAGAGUAACAUCUUCACCAACCAGCUAAGCCAAUUCUCAAACGGUAACCACGGCUCGAGACUAGCUUAUGCUUGCAAUGCUGAUGCAUGAGUUUUACAGCGUAAUGCUCCAUAACCAUGGAAAUGCUACGCGAUUAGUUAUGCAAUAUACUAUGCUUCUCUAAAUGAUGAAUGCAUAAAAAGUAUCCCCCUCAGGGGACGGCACGAGAAACUCUGUUGAGGAACUCGCUAUCACUCCGAUCUCCAACCCUGCUUGGGCUAACACUGCUGCUGAGGAAAGGACAAUCCUUACUGGGGAUGACCUCCACUGAACUCGAUCCGCUUGGGGACUUCGCUGGGGAAUAACCACCAACGCACACCCCUGCCGGGGGAACAACAACCUUCAGACCUGCUGGGGAAAUAACAAUCUCGACCCUGCUAGGGGAAACACCGACCUCGAACACACUGGGGAGAUACAUAAUAUUUGACACGGAACACCUGUCGACUCGUCGACCACUGGCAUUCACCAUCUAACCACGGUGUCAAUGUUCCACUUCUUUAGACUUUGAAGAGUCUUCUUGAUUAACCCUCUAGGAUCGUCGCACUUCUCUCGUCGUCUCUACACCAUUCUUCAACUCCCCGUACCUGAUUGGACCUCAAGGGAAUAUUUUGUCAAAACGCUUCAUACCACAACCUGCAAGUGAGUGAAAAUAAACCAACAGCGCCUGUAAAAGAGAUCGUUAGAUAAAACGUGCCCCAGGCGUGCCAAAAUUUCAACACCCAGGUCACUCAACCUUCCGAAUAAGAUUUCAAGUUUUCAAUCAUAUAAGCAUGCAUUGGAAAGGACCCCUAUGUCUCAAAAUGCAAAGAUUCUUUAUCAAAAUAAACUGAUGUUUUUGCAAUCAAAGCGGUAAUGAAAACAAAAACAAAAUUACUUGACUGAAUAUGCAUUUUAUUGAUUGAAAAAGGUGGCUCGUAACUGAGCGGUACACAGGAAGCAAUCCCUGAAAAGAGGUAAUUGCGCAUAAAAGGAAAAUCUAUCCUAAUGGCAAUGUGAAACCGUGAUCUCAUCGAGUUCCAACCCGGUUACAACCCAUAUGUCCUCAAAACUCUCCGCACUUUCUGCCUUCCGAAACAAAACGCUUCCGACCGAUCUCUGUCGGGGAUUAUCCUUGGUGUCAUAUCCAAAGUACAAACGAUCAUGCUAGACGCAGUUGUUCGUUUCACUCCCUCUUUUGCCUGGACCGCCCUUUCGGGUUUUCAGUCCACCGGGAUACCCUUUUUUGCCCAAGUCGCCCUUUCGGGGUUUUCGACUUGCCGGGUGUACAGUUUUUCUUUUUAUCCCUAAUUUUUGCCCGAACCUUUUUUUUCAUUUUUUAUUUGGUUCGUCGGGAUGCCCUUUUUUGCCUGGACUAUUUUAUUCUUUCCGUCCAGCGGGUCUCUUAUACGAAGUAUUUUUUAACUACGUCCGCAUUCACAGGGGAUGGAAAAUCCUCACCAUCCAUGGUCGUCAACAACAAGGCUCCGCCAGAGAAGACCUUCUUGACCACGAAUGGACCUUCAUAAUUGGGUGUCCACUUGCCCCGACGAUCUGACGAUCGUUCUGAGGAGGAAGGAUCCUUUUCAACACCAUAUCUCCCACAUGGUACACACGAGGUCGCACCUUUCGGUCAAAAGCACGCUUCAUUCGUUGCUGGUACAACUGCCCAUGACAAAUGGCUGCCAGCCUCUUUUCCUCAAUCAAGCUCAACUCUUCAUACCGAGUCCUUAUCCAUUCAGCCUCUUCCAAUUUCACAUCCAUCAGGACUCUCAAUGACAGGAUCUGGACCUCAACCAGUAGCACGGCUUCCAUCCCAUACACAAGCGAGAAAGGCGUUGCCCUAGUAGACGUACGCACUGAGGUUCGAUACCCAUGCAAUGCAAACGGCAACAUCUCGUGCCAAUCCUUAUAAGUCACGACCAUUUUCUGCGUAAUCUUCUUAAUAUUCUUAUUAGCCGCCUCGACCGCCCCAUUCAUCUUUGGACGAUAAGGAGAAGAAUUGUGAUGCUCGGUCUUGAACUCCUGGCACAGUUCUGCCAUCAUCUUGUUGUUGAGAUUAGAACCAUUAUCAGUAAUGAUUCUUUCAGGAACCCCAUACCUACAAAUGAUGUCUCUUUUCAGGAACCUGGCAACGACCUGUUUCGUCACGUUUGCAUAAGACGCCGCUUCCACCCACUUGGUGAAGUAAUCAAUAGCCACUAAUAUGAACCGAUGCCCAUUCGAAGUCGUAGGCUCGAUCUUUCCGAUCAUAUCAAUGCCCCACAUAGCAAACGGCCAUGGAGACGACAUUAAACUCAACGGAUUUGGAGGUACGUGCACCUUGUCAGCAUAAAUCUGGCAUUUAUGACAUUUUCGCACGAAAUUGAAACACUGAGCCUCCAUUGUCAUCCAGUAAUAUCCAGCUCUUAACAACUUUUUCACCAUCGCAUUCCCACUGGCGUGGGUACCAAACGACCCCUUGUGCACUUCUUUCAUCAACUGACUUGCUUCCUUGUCAUCGACACAUCUGAGCAAAAUCCAAUCAAAAUUCCUUUUGUACAACACCCCAUCUUUAUUCAGAUAGAACGCCAUGGCCAACCUCCUCAGAGUCUUUCGGUCCUUUUUAGACGCUCCCUCGGGAUACUCUUGGGUUUCCAGAUAACCGAACUACAGUAUUAUGGUGCCGAAAAGUAGUAGUCCGCCUGCUUCAACAGCAAACACAUAAGCCGGUCUAUCCAGUCGUCCCACCUCAACACUAGGGAAUUGAUUCCACCACUGCACUUUAAUCAAAGCGGCCAGAGUAGCCAAAGCAUCUGCUAAAGGAUUUUCUUCUCUCGGCACAUGGUGUAAUUCCACCUUGGUGAAAAACGUCAUCAACCUCCUUGUAUAAUCCCGAUAUGGAAUUAAGUGAGAUUAAUGCGUAUACCACUUCCCGUUAACCUGGUUCACAACCAAAGAUGAAUCUCCAUAGAUAACAAGGUUCUUGAUUCGCAAAUCAAUCACCUCUUCGACACCCAAGAUACAAGCUUCGUAUUCAGCCACAUUGUUGGUGCAUUCAAACGUUAGCCGGGCAGCAAAAGGAAUGUGGGAUCCCUUCGGCGUAACCAAAACAGCACCAACUCCAUUACCAUUCAUAUUAACGGCCCCAUCAAACAUCAGAAUCCAUUCGGACUCAGGGUCAGGCUCCUCCUCCGGGAUCGGUUCCUUACAAUCUUUCGAUUUGAGAAACAUGAUGUCCUCAUCAGGGAACUCAAAUUUCAUCGGUUGAUAAUCCUCAAUGGGUUGCUGGGCGAGGUAAUCAGACAAUACACUCCCCUUGAUUGCUUUUUGGGAAGUGUACUAGAUAUCAUAUUUAGUCAAAAUCAUUUGCCAUCUCGCAACCCGUUCGGUCAAUGCUGGCUUCUCAAAUAUAUACUUGAUCGGAUCCAUCUUGGAAAUCAACAAAGUGGUAUGAACCAGCAUAUACUGUCUCAGUCGGCGAGCAGCCCAUGCCAAAGCGAAGCAAGUUUUCUCGAGCAGUGAAUAUCUUGUUUCACAGUCGGUAAACUUUUUGCUAAGGUAGUAAAUUGCAUGCUCUUUUCGACCAGACUCGUCAUGCUGCCCCAGUACACACCCCAUAGACCCCUCGAGGACUGUCAAGUACAGAAUUAACGGUCGUCCCUCCACAGGAGGCAUCAAAAUCGGAGGCUCCUGCAAAUAUUCUUUUAUUUUUUCAAAUGCCGCUUGGCAAUCAUCAUUCCACCUGACCGUUUGAUCUUUUCUCAAUAACUUGAAUAUGGGUUCACACGUGGCUGUUAGAUGAGAUAUGAACCGCGAAAUGUAGUUCAAUCUGCCUAAGAAACCACGAACCUCUUUUUUUGUUUUCGGUUCAGGCAUUUCUUGUAUCGCUUUUACUUUGGCAGGAUCAACCUCGAUUCCUCUUUCGCUUACAAUAAACCCCAGCAACUUACCGGACCGCAAUCCGAAAGUGCACUUAUUCGGAUUCAACCUCAAUUUGAAUUGUCUCAACCGGUCAAACAACUUGGCCAAGUCUACCAAAUGCCCUUCUUCUGUUUGGGACUUUGCUAUCAUGUCAUCAACAUAGCAUUCAAUCUCAUGAUGAAUCAUAUCAUGAAACAAAGUCACCAUAGCUCUUUGAUACGUGGCACCGGCAUUCUUGAGACCGAAUGGCAUCACCUUAUAGCAAAAAUUGCCCCAUGGUGUGAUGAACGUUGUUUUCUCCAUAUCAUCUGGCGACAUUUUAAUUUGGUUAUAGCCAGAAAAGCCAUCCAUGAAGGAAAACACCGAGAAUUGAGUUGUAUUAUCUACCAACACAUCGAUGUGAGGUAAUGGAAAAUCAUCUUUCAGGCUAGCUCUGUUCAAAUCCCGGUAAUCCACACACAUUCUUACCUUUCCAUCCUUCUUCGGCACCGGCACAAUGUUCACGACCCAAGGAGGAUAAUUAGUGACAGCUAGGAAACCAGCAUCCAACUGCUUUUGCACUUCCUCUUUGAUUUUCAUGGCCAUCUCGGGUCGAGUUCUGCGCAACUUCUGCUUUGCUGGAGGACAGUCUUCUCUCAAUGGCAACUUGUGUACAACGAUAUCGGUGUCCAACUGUCGCAACCUGAAAAAUACAGUGCGAAAAAAAACAACCGGCGAAAGAAAAAGACAGAAGAGUCGCCACCGUGCGUUAUUCAUCCCAAAGGAGGGAAAGGAAACGCUCGAAGUAAACCUGAAAAAGGAAAGGACAAGACGGGGUCUCGCAACCAAAUCUUGGGUUCGGGAGUCGGUUAUGCGAAGGGAAGGUAUUAGCACCCCUACGCAUCCGUAGUACUCUACGGGAUCCACUUUUGUNNNNNNNNNNNNNNNNNNNNNNNNNNNNNNNNNNNNNNNNNNNNNNNNNNNNNNNNNNNNNNNNNNNNNNNNNNNNNNNNNNNNNNNNNNNNNNNNNNNNNNNNNNNNNNNNNNNNNNNNNNNNNNNNNNNNNNNNNNNNNNNNNNNNNNNNNNNNNNNNNNNNNNNNNNNNNNNNNNNNNNNNNNNNNNNNNNNNNNNNNNNNNNNNNNNNNNNNNNNNNNNNNNNNNNNNNNNNNNNNNNNNNNNNNNNNNNNNNNNNNNNNNNNNNNNNNNNNNNNNNNNNNNNNNNNNNNNNNNNNNNNNNNNNNNNNNNNNNNNNNNNNNNNNNNNNNNNNNNNNNNNNNNNNNNNNNNNNNNNNNNNNNNNNNNNNNNNNNNNNNNNNNNNNNNNNNNNNNNNNNNNNNNNNNNNNNNNNNNNNNNNNNNNNNNNNNNNNNNNNNNNNNNNNNNNNNNNNNNNNNNNNNNNNNNNNNNNNNNNNNNNNNNNNNNNNNNNNNNNNNNNNNNNNNNNNNNNNNNNNNNNNNNNNNNNNNNNNNNNNNNNNNNNNNNNNNNNNNNNNNNNNNNNNNNNNNNNNNNNNNNNNNNNNNNNNNNNNNNNNNNNNNNNNNNNNNNNNNNNNNNNNNNNNNNNNNNNNNNNNNNNNNNNNNNNNNNNNNNNNNNNNNNNNNNNNNNNNNNNNNNNNNNNNNNNNNNNNNNNNNNNNNNNNNNNNNNNNNNNNNNNNNNNNNNNNNNNNNNNNNNNNNNNNNNNNNNNNNNNNNNNNNNNNNNNNNNNNNNNNNNNNNNNNNNNNNNNNNNNNNNNNNNNNNNNNNNNNNNNNNNNNNNNNNNNNNNNNNNNNNNNNNNNNNNNNNNNNNNNNNNNNNNNNNNNNNNNNNNNNNNNNNNNNNNNNNNNNNNNNNNNNNNNNNNNNNNNNNNNNNNNNNNNNNNNNNNNNNNNNNNNNNNNNNNNNNNNNNNNNNNNNNNNNNNNNNNNNNNNNNNNNNNNNNNNNNNNNNNNNNNNNNNNNNNNNNNNNNNNNNNNNNNNNNNNNNNNNNNNNNNNNNNNNNNNNNNNNNNNNNNNNNNNNNNNNNNNNNNNNNNNNNNNNNNNNNNNGUUUUUUUAUGGAUGCAUGAAUGAGGAGGGCAAAUUUUGGGGUGUUACACCAACCCUGGCAUAUCCUAAUAAGACCAAGCGAAGAUAUCAACAUACUCUUUCAACAAUGCUACCAUUCUGCUCUUGACAUUCACCUUCAAAGCGGCCCCAACCUUUACUUCGUUUAUGACCGCCUCGGUACCCAGAUUAACAAUCUCGACUUGCUCCUCGUGCGGUUGAAUCACCUUCUCCUCUUGUUUCAACAACCUGGCUAAUUCUUCCGACAGUUCACAAUCUUCUUCGCCUUCUUCUUCGGCAUGAUAGAUCGGGUUGUCGAAGUCAUAUAAAGGUGUAACAGGAUUGUUAUCAAUGAGAUCCGGAGAAUGAUCGCAUCUGCAUGAAUGUUGAUUCAUGCAUUGCUUUAGAGUCGGGACGAAGCAAAUUAAAAGGAAGAAAAAUGAAAAUAAACAUUGCCAUUUUUAUUUUAUUUUUCUUAAACUGCAAAAAUAAAUGAAAAACAGGGAACACCGCUUUUAAUGCGAAAAACAUCCGUUUAUUAAUGAUGCAAAUAAUGCAAAAUGAAACACAUGAGGUGGCCCUUACAAUGGACCAUUACGUUUCGGGAAAAACGUAUGGCUUUCAUGCAAACAGAAUUGAAAAACAGAAAUAUUACUCUUCACGCAGAGUGACAGUGAUGAUCUUUUCUCGUAUGGCUUUCAUGCAAACAGAAUUGAAAAACAGAAAUAUUACUCUUCACGCAGAGUGACAGUGAUGAUCUUUUCGGCCUUCCAGUUCUGGAUCUCCAUCCCUGGUACGCACAGUUUUAUCCACGAAUCAAGCUCGCAGUCACUGUCAGUCUCUUCACCCACUGCACAGACGCGAUCUGGAUUUAACAUUCCAGCACUGGUGAACGUGAGCGGUUGACGACGCUCUCUAUUCUGUCCAGACGAGCCUUGGCCCGACUGAUAGCCAAUCCCAAACCUGUCCUCUUUCGCCGCAAUGUCUAUCAUUCUUCCCCAACCUGGGGCCUCUCCACUUCUCACCACCUCCACGGCCUGUUUGUAAGAAGCAAUGGACGGCUUUUUCUCUUCCUUAGCAAAAAUGGCAUUCUCCACCUUAACGGUUUCAAACGCCUGGCUUGGUGUUUCAAAUAUUUCACCGUCCAUUUCCACAUAUUUGAACGAUGACAGUUGGCUGACAAAAAUAUCCUCCUCCCCACAAACUGUUACGACCUGCCCGUCCCAGAUAUACUUUAACUUCUGGUGCAAAGUCAAAGUUACUGCCCCAGCAGCGUGUAUCCAUGGUCGACCCAACAAGCAACUGUAUGCCGGCUGAAUGUCCAUGACAUAGAACACAGACUUGAACACCUCGGGCCCAAUCUUCACAGGGAGCUCAACUUCCCCAAACACAGCCCUCUUAGAGCCAUCAAACGCUCUAACCACCAAAUCAGUAGGCCUCAACACCACUCUUUCGCAAUCUAACUUAGCUAGGGCCUUCUUAGGCAACACAUUGAGUGACGAGCCGGUAUCAACCAGAACGUGCGAAAGCACUUCUCCUUUACACUCAAUUGAAAUGUGUAAUGCCUUAUUGUGAUUACGUCCAUCCACAGUAAGAUCAAGAUCAGUGAAACCCAACCCAUGGCUGGCAUUGACAUUUGACACCAUUGUCUCCAGCUGAUUGACCAUAAUCUCCUACGGGACAUAGGCCCUCUUCAAGAUUUUUAACAAAGCCUCUCUAUGCCCUUCUGAGCUUAACAGCAAAGAUAAGAUUGAAAUCUUGGACGGAGUCUGCUGCAAAUGAUCAACAAGUUUGUACUCAGACUUCUUGAUAAUCCUUAAAAACUCCUCGGCUUCAUCAUUCUUCUGAGCUUAACAGCAAAGAUAAGAUUGAAAUCUUGGACGGAGUCUGCUGCAAAUGAUCAACAAGUUUGUACUCAGACUUCUUGAUAAUCCUUAAAAACUCCUCGGCUUCAUCAUCAAGCUCAUUUUCCGACCCAAGAGGCAUCGGUGCCGCUCUAGGAAUACCCUCAUUCAUCACCUGUUUACCUUUUGCCCUGCCUAAAGCCUCGGCCUUAUCUCUCUUUUCUUUUUCUGCAUCCCUACUCCUUAACAUGUCAGGCGCAAACAACCUCCCACUGCGAGUGAAACCACUAAGUCCGGCAUUAUCCACCUUUGAAACGGUGGUAUCACCUGCAACCUGAUCUUCCUGCUUCUUUCCAUUACAAUACACCUCCCCACCAUAGUCCCACGGCACAGCAUCAUCAUUUUCAUAUGGAAUGGGUCCCGGUACCGUGAUGGUAACUGGAGCCGCAUCUGUCGGCGCUGACAAGUAGACAGGGUCAAAAUAAAUGGUUAUUGUUGAAACAUCCUCCUUCUCCAAAUCAACUUUCUCAAAUCGGAGACUUCCCUCAUCCAUCAUUCUCUGAACCGUCUCCCUCAAUACAAGACACCCAUUUGUAGCGACAGUGCAAGCAGCACAACAAUUAUCACAACCCGGAAAAACUCCAUUUUUUAACAACUGUCUCUUGACCACAGACAUUGGAGUCCUUAUCUGAUCCACGUCCAUCACCCCAAUUUUUCUCUUAUCCUCCGAAAUUGCAUUCACCCCCAUCUGACCAUGCGUCAGCAUGGGAUUAGCAUUAACAUUUGGCGAUGGUGCAAAAUUGAUGGCUUUAGAAUCCACCAAAUCUUGAACAACAUGUUUAAAGGCCUUACAACCCUCAAUGUUAUGCCCGGGAGCACUAGAAUAGAAUUCACACUUAGCAUUCUCAUCAUAAUUGGCAGGCCUCUGGUCUGGUCUUAACGGAGCCAACGUCCUCAGCUGAACCAACCCAAGAUCUUUCAACUUCUUUAACAGAAAUGCAUACGUCACGAGUGGCCUAUCAAACUGACGAUCAAUCAUCCUUCCUCUCACUUGAUACCCGGCCCGUUGUGUUCUCUGCUGAAAUGGUUGUCGUUGUUGUUGUUGUUGCUGUUGUGCAGGUUGAAUAUCAGCAGGAAUUGUUACUGCAGCAGUAUGCUUGUAGUAACGAUCCCUACCAUGUCCUCUCUGGGCAUACACAACACUCGUGUCACCCUCCUUCUUACGCUGACCGUUCCCAAAUGGCUUCUUCGAUCCAGACGACGAAGCAUUUCCCUGUAUCUUUCCCAUUUUUAGCCAGCUUUCAAUUCUCUCACCAGCCACUACUAUGUCUGCAAAACCAGUGACGGGACAACCCACCAUCCUUUCCGCAAAGGUCCCCUGAAGGGUACCCAUGAACAAAUCAGACAUCUCCCGAUCCACUAACGGUGGUUGAACUCUGGCAGCCAACUCUCUCCACCUUUGUGCAUACUCUUUAAACCCUUCAUUCGGCUUCUGAGACAUACCCUGCAACUGGGUACGGCUAGGUGCCAUGUCAGCAUUGAACUGGUACUAUUUAAAGAAAGCAUCUCCCAAAUCCUGCCAGCUCUUAAUAUCUGAUGAUCUCAACUUGGUAUACUACUCAAGAGACCCACCAGAUAAGCCAUCCUGGAAGAAGUACAUCCAGAGCUUCUGAUCCAUGGUAUAGGAAGAUAUCUUUCGGACAAAGGCCUGAAGAUGAGUUUCUGGGCAAGAACUCCCAUUAUACUUAUCAAACGUGGGCACUUUGAACUUCUGUGGGAUCACAAUCCCCUCAACCAGCCCCAUGUUUGUCAUAUUGAUAGCCCCAGGAGAGGUAUGGCUUUCCAGAGCCCUGAUCUUUUCUGCCAGUACCUGAAUCUCUUUGUUCGGCAGUUGAACACCAUAUUGACCAAGUUGCUCGUUCAGCACAGAGAACUGAUCUUCUUCUUUAUCCUCCACAGCCCCAAAGAAAGGAGGAAACUGAUUAUCCUUCAGAGUAUUGCCCACAGGACCUGGCCCACCGCCUGCAGCGAAACCAAAACCACCACCAUUGUUGAUGAAUACUCCAGCAUUAGUUGCCUUCUUUCUGAGAUCGCUACCACCCCUAAAACCACCAGGACCAUUGUUGGAGUUACCCUCAUGACUAUUGCCAUUGUUGACGAUCGAAGCCAGCUCAAGCCUCUCCACCUUCUCGACGAUUGCUUUCUGUUCCAUGGCGAACUCUUGCAUGGCGCUGAUCAACUCACUCAUCUUCUCUUUCAGCUCGAGAAUGUCAGUAUUGGAUGGAUCCAUCAGUUUGGGUUUGUUGCGUCUGGUAGGGUAUCUGUGCGGACGAGCUACGUGCAAAGGAAUGAUUCUGCGUGCGCGAGCAAUGAUUCCUAAAACAAUCAAACACGUUAGAAACCAACACUGGACGAGCUACGUGCAAAGGAAUGAUUCUGCGUGCGCGAGCAAUGAUUCCUAAAACAAUCAAACACGUUAGAAACCAACACCUGCAAAAUAGAAGAUAAGUUAUUAUGAUUCAUGCAUGAAUGCAAUGUCUAUCCAUAUGAGGAACAUUCUGUCCUUCGAUUCUGGUUUCAUUGAGACGGAUAAUAAUUAGGCAGCAAUAUCAUGACAUCAAUCAUCAGGUUUCGCCGUACAGAAAAAAAGGUUGUGCUCUAGCAAAGAUAUCACCCGACCAUGUGUGUGUUAAGUGAGUGUACACGGAAAAACAAAUAAAGCGUUGAGAUCAAACACUGAAUGAUAAUAACCACUGUAUAGCAAAAGUGCGCUACACGUGCGAGAAUCAUACACCAUGUUUGAUACGAAUCAAAUUUACAAUCCUCCAGAAUCAAAAAGGAAUACAAUCAAGUGAAUUCCGCCAACAUGCCUGACGGUAAUCCAACACAUGAUAACACUGCAAUAAAAGCUAAUCUGAAUAAGGUCUCACAGAAGACUCUGCUCCAUCAACCAUCCUGGUAAACUUCAUAGCGAACCUGAGCUCAGUGUUCUCCAGCCGAAGUCUUCCCACCUCUUUCUGAUGAAUCUUCAUCUGACGGAAAUAAUGGUCCCUCUCAGCAAGAUAAUGAUCUCUCUCGGUCAUAAUCUUCGCUUUCUCUUCUUCCUUAAUCCUCAGCUUUGCUUCCCACUCUGUGGUAAGGGCCUUGGCUCUAGUUUCCCUUUGAGUCUUCACAAGGACUUGUCUCUUCUUUUCAUCUUCAAUGACUUUCAACGCUCUAGCCAACUUCUCUUUGGUAAUGUCGUGCUCCUUCGUAGAUGACUCUAACGCUUGGCUGAUCUUACAGUAAUAGGCGGUAUCUUUCUCAAAACGCUUCACCUCCUGAGCAUGUAUCCUAGCCUGGUCUUCUGCUUUCCCCUUGAUCUCCUGAUUAGCCAUUUGAAUUCUAGCAACACUCAUUUCUAUCUCAGCCUUCUCUGCUUGCAGUUGAUCUCUCGUCCUCCUCAUCUCAAGAAAUUCUUCCAUACUGACAGAAGAACGUGGCUCCUCAAUCAACGGAUACCAAAGAUCACCCACAGGAAAUGGCAGAUGAGUGAGCUCAACCCUCUCUCUGAGCCAAUCAUCAAAUGGAGGAAAAGACAUGUUAUUAGCUCUACCAAAAGGAACCUUGCCUUUCCUUUGAAUGUCGCGCCAUGCCUCAGACACUUGCCUAAACAAUGACUGAUUACCCUCGAUCGGGAAGUAGAAAGACUCCUGAAUCUCACGCUCGAAGGGAGGACCCUCCAUAGCAAAUCCCAUUUGUCUCUUAAGAAGCGUCGGGUUGUAAUUAAUACACCCUUGAACUCCUAUAAGGGGCACAUUGGGAAAGCUCCCUCAACUGCAAAUAAAAUCUCGUCCAGCCACACCACUGUGAGUCCAAGCUAUGUCCUUGGCUCGCAAACCCAUUAACUUGGUUGCCCAAUUAACCGUAUGGUCAAGAAAGCCAAAGGCACCUCUGGAAGGCAAAUAUCCCAUGAACCAUUUAUAUAACAGUUGAGCACAAUAUCUAACCAAUCCUCCACGCCGCUUCUCGUUCCGAUUAUGGACCGAGUAAUAAACAUCCCCAAUCAAGGUAGGAAUGGGAUUCCUCUGAGCAAACACCCGGAUGGCAUUAAUAUCCACAAAAUUCUUCUGAUUAGGGAACAGGAUAAUUCCAUAAAUGCUUACAGCAAGCAGAGCACAGACAGUCCUCAAAUUACCCGAAACAACAUGUUCCUUGGCUCUGGCCUCCAAGAAACUCAGAUGAAAACCGGGCAACUUUCCUUUCUCCUUCAAACCCUUCUUAGUCACUUCCUGGCUCAAACAAAGAGCACGAGAAAUCUCAACAACACCAGGUUCUUCCUUAGUAACAUAAAAAGGAAUCUGGUUUCUGACCCGAAUACCCAGAAUACCGACAUAAUCUUCCAUCAAAGGUCCCAACAAAUAGUCUGGGAAGACAAAACAUCUCAAACUCGGAUCAUAAAACUGGAGAAGAGUAUGGAGGGCACUCCUAUCCCCAUCUGUGAGCCUGAAAACCAUCUUCAUAAUACCGCCAUAAGCUUCACGGAACAUCCCCACAUGGUCAGGUGUAAUCAAUGAUAUCAUACCCUUCAGCACGCUAAUCUCUGGAUUAAAGAAACUGUAGACAACAUUGUCUUUUAAGCCGGUCCUCAUACCUGGAACAAAGAUGUCUCUCAACCAGAAUCUCAAUCAAGAAUGUACCCUGCAUAUGGAUAAACAUGAGUUAGAUACGGAUAAAUGCAAAAUGGGAAUGAUGCAGAUGCAUGAAUGCAAUGCAUAAUUCCAUCCUCCAAGACAUCUGAGCACCAAUUGUACUGGAUUCCGGUCUCUGAACUGAUCACAACCAUCUGAGGGACUAAGUAACCACAAAUCCAACUCGGGGUUCCGAAAUAAACGGAACCGGAGGAUAUAUCACCAUCAUCACAGGAAAGCCACAGAACGGAUAACCACAAAACCAUCUGAACAAGUAACCCUUAAAUUCAACCCGGGGAUCCGAAAUAAACGGAACCCGCUGAUAAAUACCACGGACAGAACUCCGGCGUGUCAGAAAUAAACAUCCAUAAAUCCAACUUAUAAAUAGAACUCAGAUCACAAACCGAACCAAAGUCACCAUCAAAGAGUCACCAACAGAACCUGUAUCUGUAAGAAUCAAACCCCUCCCCUCACAGGUGAAUUCUAAUACGGUCAUCCUAAGGCGGAUAAUGGUCUCGACAAUCGGACAAGAUACUCAACGGGUUUGCCCUUUCGGGUGUGCCGUGCAGCUCUCAUAAGAUCAUCUAAACCAAAGAUCCGGGAAAGAACGGUCACCGUUUGCCCUUUCGGGUGUGCCGUGCAGCUCUCAUAAGAUCAUCUAAACCAAAGAUCCGGGAAAGAACGGUCACCGAAGUCAACAGCUCAAAAGAGGUAACCCAACCAUAGUGGAUACUCCACCAGGAAGAGCUCUCUCAGAAGAACCUCGUCCGGUUGUGGUAUGUCACGUCGCCACAAACAUGUUGACCUAACAUGUGAGGAAACAUGAGACCACGCUAAUCCUAAGUGUAUACUCGAGCCUGGGUUUUAGCCCCACUCAGAACACCCACCCCCAAAUCAUAGGAACCACACAUGUCCAGAAUCCAACACAGUGAUAAUAUGAUGCAUGCAAACAUAUAUGCAAAUAUCUACAAUCACAGUAUAAUAAUCACAAAUGCAAUAAAUUAGCAGUAAAAGCAACCCAAACUACCCUAAAAACUACACUAGAGAGCGCUAGGAUUAACUCGCUUAGGGAAGAUGGACUAGUAAGAGGUCAACCUUUAUCCCCAGCAGAGUCGCCAGCUGUCGCAACGCGAAAAACAACCGGCGGAAAAAUACAGAGCCGCCACCGACGCUAUUCAUCCUAUGACGGAAAGGGAGCGCAGGACUAACCUAAGAAAGGGAAAGGAAUCAACCGGCGGAAAAAUACAGAGCCGCCACCGACGCUAUUCAUCCUAUGACGGAAAGGGAGCGCAGGACUAACCUAAGAAAGGGAAAGGAACGGUCUUACGACCAGAGAUUAUAAGGUACGGGAGUCGAUUACGCAAGGGGAAGGUAUUAGCACCCCUCACGUCCGUCGUACUCGACGGGAUCCACGCUCAAAAAGAUAGCUCAAAGAAUAGGAAAAGGUUGCUAAUAAAAUUGCUCAAAGGAAUUGCACAAAUUGGAAUAAUAAAACAGAUGAAAGAAGACGGAGGAAGUGGACUCGGCAGGAUGUCGCAUCCUGGGCCUACGUAGUUUGUCAGAAACAAACAUCAGAGUCAACAUAGUUCGGGGAAAGGGAGACAUGCUCGCUAGGAUAUCGCAUCCUAUGCCUACGUAUCUUCUCUAUCCAUAGGAGAAUUAGAGCACUCGUAGCUCGGCUAACACACGCCGAAACAAGACACCAAAAAGGAGACGCUGAGACGUCAAAAGAAACACUCAAAAGGAAACAGAAUGCCAAUACAUGGACUUAUAUCCGACUCCCAACAAUAACCAACAAAAGGAAACAGAAUGCCAAUACAUGGACUUAUAUCCGACUCCUAACAAUAACAAACGCUAACCAGCGAACACCAAAGAAAAAAAAGUUAUCAGAAUGAACCCCGAUAUGUAUAACCAAUCACCACAAAUGAACCCCAAAAGAUGAACCCCGAAUGAGUGACAACCGUCACAAAUGAACCCCAAAUGAGUGACAACCGUCACAAAUGAACCCCAAAGAUAAACCCCAAGUGAGUGACAACCGUCACAAAUGAACCCCAAGUAAUAACAAUCAUCACAAAUGAACCCCAAAGAUAAACCUUAAAUGAGUGACAACCGUCACAAAUGAACCCCGAAGAUAAACCCCAAGGUAUAAACAUACCACACACGCUCAUGCUAGACAAACAAGUACUCUCACCAAAACAAAGAAAAGGGUGAACACACAGAGACUCAAGGAAAAGGGUGAACAAACACACGAAAACAACACAGCAAAAAAGAAAAAGGGUGCCCGGAGAGAUUGCUUGCAACCUCCUGCCUACGUAUCUCAUUUGGUAUGAGAAUCAGGGCGACGUAGUUCCCCUGAACAGGGGUAUAACACUCUCCUAACCAGAGACCAGGGAGACAAUAAACUAAUAGGGAGACUAAGACUCGAGCCUAAUAGUUGUCAUGCAAUCGAAUCCCUAGGUUGAGGUCUCUAACCUGCACUCAACUCACUCUGGAAGCGAGCCAACUGAAAAGAAAAUAAUCACCAACACAAGUGAAUAAGCAUCACACACUAUAUCCAUACAAGAGGCCCAAACAAUGGGUAGGCUUUAGUCAAGAGGGGUCAUAUCAACCUCGACAAACAAGCCAAACUGUAAUGGGUAAUCUGUAGCUCUUAACCACUAACAUUGAGAGUUAGGGUGAAGCUGAUCAAAAUGGUAAUGAGGAUGAGACCUCAUGCUCUUAACCCUGGCCUGGGUGAGCUCAAAACAAAGAAAGUGUGGGGAUCCAGAAAGUGAGAUCCUAUUCCACUUGACAGACUCUGGACAAAGAUCUUGGGUACAUGUUCAGAAGCAUCAGCACGUAGUGCGAGCAUAAUGAACGACUCAAUGAAUAACGGGGGAUUGGCUACUAAUCCCCUUUAUCCGUCAAUUGCCUCUUCACUUAGGAGGACUUAUCAAGUAACACAUGCCUCAUCUUGGAGGUCUUUGGCACAAUCUGUAAACAAACACAAAUAGAGCCUCUUAAGGAGGACUUCCAGCAAAAUGCCUGCCAAAAAAAGUGACAGGACUUCCAGACUACAUGGAGUAAGAAGAUAACUACCUAAGUGGUGUAUCAACCAUAAUCCAAAGCUCAAGCAAGAGCUAAAAGCAAGCAACUAAGGUACCUGUACAAAAGCUAACCAGUUAAUAUUUCAGACAUAAAAUCAAAAAACAAACAGUGAAACCAUCCAACUGUACACAACUCAAUGAACAAUGCUCAAGCACUCAAAUGAGCUCAAGCCUAUCACUUAGAACCCUACAAAACAAACAAAAGUUAGAAUUCAAAUCAUUUGCAUAAAUCAUUUGCAUCUCACAAAGUGAGACCAAACCAACCAUCAAUGCUAAAUGUCCAAACCUGAAACACAAGUCAAGGUUAGUUCAUGUACAAAACACUAGUACAAAGACUAGGUCCAAAACCAAACCUAAUGAUCAAAACAGAAGUCAAUCUUUUACACAAAGCUCAUUCAAACACUUCAUUCAAUGUCCUCAAAAGGACCAGCAUCAAUUCAAAAAGCAAAGGCAUCAAAUGACUCAUGUAAUGCAAUGACCAAACAAUGUGCACAAGAUGAACUUCCAAUUUAGAAAAUCCAUAUCAAAUGGAAAAUGCAUGCAAUGGCCUUGAGAUUUUUCAUACCAGUUCCUCAUGUCAUGAACAAACAACAUGCAAAAAAUUAAAUCCAGAAAGGUUCAAAUGAUAUAUGAACAAAAAUGCAACAAUUCAAUGUCAAAAAUGUGACACAAAUUGUCACAUUAUUCUCCAUGUGUCAAAAACAAUGAUGACAUAUGAGAAAAAAUCCAAACCAGUGCUUAAAAUUCAUAUCAUGAGUGAAUAUUAAGCAUGUAAAAAAUUUGAUCAAGAAGCUCAACACAUAGAAUUUCACAAGGCAAUGAACAUAACAUGUCAAGUUAACACAAGGUUCAAUCAAAAAUCCACAAUUAAAAAAAUCAGACAUCAACAAAUCAUGAAAAUAAUAUCAAAAAAAACUAGACAUUCAUACAAAACUAGGAAAAAAAAUUGGAGUUAAUUUGGAUCAUUUUCCUAUUUUUAAUGAUUUUUCUAAAUGAGCAAAAUAAAAUGGAAUAGCAAAAUAAAAUGGAGGGAAAAACAAAAUUCAAAUUAAAUCAGAAUAAAUUAAUAAAAUGGAAUAGCAAAAUAAAAUGGAGGGAAAAACAAAAUUCAAAUUAAAUCAGAAUAAAUGAGAGCCACACGAUGAAGCGCGCAAAAGCAAUCCAGCGGUCCACAUUCAAAUGUCAAAACACACCGUUUCAUUAAACACGGUGGCAUGCUCAGUCAGCUAGUCCUGAGACGCAUGGCAAGUCAAAGCAAUUCAGUCCAAUCAAUUAUACAGGCAAGGCACACAUCAGCAUACAGCAUGGCUAAAUGAAAUGAUGCGUUUCAUUUAUUAGUCAGCACACCACAUCAUCGGUCAAAGCAAACGCGUGACUAGUCAAUGCAAUUACAACCAAACAAUUGGUCACGAAGGCGCACACAUGGAACACACGUGGAUCCAGCAAGGCAAACCCUAACAAAUAACCAGACGCCGGAGCUGUAGCUCCGGUCGUCUUCUCCGACCAACCAGGCGGUGGCACCGCCGUGGAAAUUUGCAGAAAUACACAAACCAUACAUCAAUCGAACCGCUCUCUCACAAGGAAUCCAAAUAUCAUAUCAAUUCUUCCUAAAUCAUCAUGUAUUUUCCAGAUCGAACGAAAACAUUUUCAUAAUCAAAACUUGAAGUUCACAUAACAUGCUCAAUUCUCAUCCAUUUUUAAAUCUAAUCAUAUCUACGUGCUCUACAUAGUGAGAUCUACACAACUAUAACAAGAAAACAGCAAAAAGAGAUGAUGAAUUUCAACUCACUUGGAAAUGCAGGUUGAUGAAUUCGUGUGUUCAAGCUCUCAAAAGCUCCAGAUCCACUCUACUACACUUGACUUGAAGCUUUGUGCACGAAUCAACAGUUGAAACCACCUGGAUCUAGCUCAAUUUCCAACUUCCAUCUUCAUGAGAUUGUGCUUGAAUUGCUCCAAUUCUUGAUGAAUUGCACCAAACCAAAGCUGAUUCUUGAUCAGUGAGAUAUGAGGAUCAUGAUUAUGCAAAAAUAUUUGAGGUUUAUGUGGAAAAAAUGGAAGAAUCGGAGAGAGAAUUUCUUGAAUUUUGAUCUCAAAAGUUAGUUAUGGCAGUUAUGGCUUAGGGUUUGGCUUAUAUACUCCAUGCUAAUGACCAUGCUAAUCACACUUUGCAUUUGUUAAUCAAGAUUAAGGAGAUUUGAAGUGAUUUGAAAAAAUGCAAAAUGAGUUCAUUAUGCCAUGUUCUACGUGUACAGUACCAUGCAAGGCUUGGAAUUCACUUAAAAUCAACCAAGGAUCAACAUGGAAUUGGUAUUUUGCUUGUAUCAUAAGCCAAAUUUGAAUUAUGGAAAUUCCCUCCAAAAUAAACACAUGAGAAAUGAUGAGCAUACACACUUUUCCCAUGCAUGGCAAAGGCUAUUUUGAGAUGUCUUGAACAUUAGAAGCACUUUGCAAAAAGAAUGGGCCAAUUUGGAGCUUUGUAUCAAAAGUUAGGCCAUUUUGAAUUUCCAUGCACACCUUGUGAUCAAAUGAUCAUAACUCCUCAACCAUUCAUCAUAUGGACAUGAAUUAAGGCUUUUUUAAAAGGGGAGAAAAAGAUCUACAACUUUCAUGUUCACCAAAAAUCCAUUUGAAACAUCUUUGAUAUUGAAAAGUUAAGUUGAAGGUGGACCAAAAACUUGCCAAAUUGGGAAACUUUGAAUUACAGGUUACUUUCCAUUUUUGGAAACUUUUGCCAUGACCUUUGCAUCUUCAAGAUGUAUGUUUAAAAUUAUGAAUGGACCUCCUUUGAACAAGAUUUAGGUGUCUCAAUUCAUUUCCCCACCUCAUAGCCCUCAGUUGACUGCAUAGUUGACUUUUGGUCCUCAGAUGACCUUGACAUGCUUUGAUUCACUUGAGUCUCUACCACUUGGGGAAAUUGCUCAAAAAUGAAACCCUAGUUCAUGUAAGCUCCUUAUAGCAAUCAUAUGAUCCUCAUCCCCAGAAAAUACCUCAUCUCUUUGAGAAGCCUUGGUUGGAAGAAAUGCAUUGAUUAGGGUUGACCAGAGGUCACAACCCUAAUCCCAAGGAACUUGAGGAUGAACUAUGAAACCCUUGAUGAUGAUAGAACCAUGAUGAUGGUAAGAUAUCCUUUCAAACAAGAUGAUGCCCAAGACCUUUGAAGAAUCAAGAAACCCUAAUUGAAGUACAAACCCUCAGAUGGUUGAUAAUCAAUUCAUAGAGACCCUCAUGCUUGAAUCAUGUAACUUCUCCAUCUUUGACAAGAUUUUGGAGGAUGACCUUCUUAUUUCCCUAUGAUAUGCAAAAUGCAAUGCCUAAUGCUCUAAAAUACGAAAUGCAAUGUGUCAAACUAGUCUCAAGAAGAGGAGGGCAAAUUUUGAGGUGUUACACUAUGAUAAGUGAUUUUUUUAUGAUUGAUAUGGCUUUGGUAUGAAUUGGAUUACAUGGUCUUGGAUGUAUUAAUUAAUGUUAUUUAAAAUGAAGAUGGGAUUGAAAUGCUAGAAGUAUGUUAAAAUAUGCUUAAAUUGGAAGUUUGCUGCAGGUAUGAUGAGCAAUGCAUAGAACCGCAACUUACAUACGGUUAUGCUCUAAUAUUGUACUUUUCAUUUUAUCAAAGCCAAAAUUUCAAAUAAGAAUAUAUAAACAGUCAAAGUUAAAAUGAUACAUUUAAAACUAAUUUUACAUGUCUUGGAAUUGUCACCGCAUUUGUGUAUAAAUCAAUUUCAGGAAUACUUUUCUUGAGGGAACGGGGGGUCCGGCNNNNNNNNNNNNNNNNNNNNNNNNNNNNNNNNNNNNNNNNNNNNNNNNNNNNNNNNNNNNNNNNNNNNNNNNNNNNNNNNNNNNNNNNNNNNNNNNNNNNNNNNNNNNNNNNNNNNNNNNNNNNNNNNNNNNNNNNNNNNNNNNNNNNNNNNNNNNNNNNNNNNNNNNNNNNNNNNNNNNNNNNNNNNNNNNNNNNNNNNNNNNNNNNNNNNNNNNNNNNNNNNNNNNNNNNNNNNNNNNNNNNNNNNNNNNNNNNNNNNNNNNNNNNNNNNNNNNNNNNNNNNNNNNNNNNNNNNNNNNNNNNNNNNNNNNNNNNNNNNNNNNNNNNNNNNUUUUUCAUUUUAUUCACAAAGCCUAAAAUUUCAAAUAAGAAUUGAUUCACACUCAAAUUUCAAAUGACUAACAAUUUUAAAACUACUUUUACCAUGGUUCUGAAUUUGGUCACCUUUUUGGCUACUACUAUCAAUUUUCACGAAGAUCCUUUCUCUUUGAGGUGAAAGGAGGGGUCCGCGAUUAAAACAUAUGGUCAGAAAAAGAGGAAGGGACUUGGGAAAGUAAAAGAACAUAUAUAUUAUGUUUCCAUGAAAAAAAUCAAUGGCCAUUAAUGAAUGUUAAACUGGACAAUGUAUUUGGUUGUGGAGUUGGAUAGCAAAAAAUGGUUUAUGGCUAAUGAGAAUUUGAAUUGGAUAUGAAAAUAGGCUUAAGAAUUUGGGUAUGGGUAAAAAAGGAAGAAUGGGUUUUAAUAAAAAUAUAGAAUGCAUGGAUUAUUUAAGUUCACUCACCAUGGCCCACUAGUGAAAAACCGAAACAAGACAAUUUUAACAAUGGGAUCAAAUCGAAAUUAAAAAAGGUUAAUGGUUCCUAAAGUUACUUUGAUAAAAGAAAAGCAAAGCCUCCUAAAAAUCAACCCAAAGGCCGACUUGAAACCCCAAAGACCAAUUUGGGCGUAAACCCAUCUGAACCUCCGAGAUUAAAUCAGAUUUGAAAUCAAUUUGAAAAAGAAGACUAAGACACAAAUGAUGACUGAAUAAGCGCCGGAUUGAUGAAUCCUCAUGGCGCGACCUAUGGGUCAGAUCGUAUCAUGGCCAAAUGGACGAAUGGAUAUCGACCCCAUUAUGCACCAGAAACAUAUGACCAAGAACCAACUGGCUAAUCAAGAAUGGAUCCAGACCCCUAAAAAUGAGAUAUACAACCCCCUGGGACCCCUGAUCAUCAAAACACGUGGCAAACCCUGAUGAUCGAGGCAAUGAUCAGGUAUGAUCAAAUACCUUCAAAUCAAGCAAUUUACCAAACAAAUGAAAUUAUUCCCCGAUGUUAUAGACCAAGACAUCAGGGCUCGAUUGCCUGAUCCUCCUCAAAUUGUGAAUGAACCAGAGUGCUCACCAGGUGCAAGCAUAAAGCCAUGAAUCCAAAUCACUUGUAUCCUCUUGUAUUGGACCAUGAUUGUGCAGAUGAAAUGAAAUGUCUGUAAGGCUAUGCAUAUGAUUAAGGUUAGUGACCUAGAUGAACUUUGUGAAAGGUAGGGUGAAAUUUGGGGUAUGACAGUAACAUGUUGGGAUGAAUGGGGCUUUCUCCCAUUCCUUUUCUUGUUCCUCUUUUUGUUUCUUUUCAUGCCUCAAAAAUAUUUUGAAGUCCUUUACUGUAAGGGGCAUGUCACUGCUAGAGUCAGAUUCCUCUACUUUGAAUGUUAGGCUUUUGGUUUUCUUUUCUUGUUCAUCAUUUAUGACAAGUCUUUUAAGUUCCAUCUCGUGUACCUGUACUUUGAAAAAUAAAGUGUUUGUGUGUCGAUAGUUAAAUUCUUAAUGACUAUUGGGUUUCCAACUACGGUUUAGGCAUCUAAGAAAUUUUAUAACUAGGUCCUCGUUUGAAUUACUUUGAAAAAUAAAGUGUUUGUGUGUCGAUAGUUAAAUUCUUAAUGACUAUUGGGUUUCCAACUACGGUUUAGGCAUCUAAGAAAUUUUAUAACUAGGUCCUCGUUUGAAAGUGUUAUUCCCAGAGUUCUCAUAUGACAUAUGAUAUGGGUAAAUUGUCACUACUGCGUAAAUGCUCUUUCACCCUGGUUGGAAAAGAGAUACGAUCACGGUUGACCAACUAUGGUAGGGUAAGGCAUAAUAGUAAGUAUGUUGCUUUCUAGCACAAGCAUAUGGCCGUGAUGACAAACUAUGUCGCACGCUACAUAUCACAAAGGUUAUCUCAAACAAUCUUGGUGAAACAUAUUAAGGUCGUGGACUCGAUUCCCAAUCAUAAUAUGAUAUAUAAUAAUUGACACUCUAGCUAUCACCAUGGUGUCUUAUUCAAUUAUGGUGAAAGACUUUUUUUUAAAAUAUUCUUUUUUAUUAUUCCAUUUAUGUCCCCUUUUUUUUAGUACUUAUAUGCUAUAUUUUACCAUAAUAAAAUUAGCAAAUAUGCAUAUCUUUGUAACCAAAAUAUGACUAUAAAAUAUUUCCAUCAAACUUAAAAGUAUAGCAAACAUAUAAUUACAAAAUAUAGCUUUACCAAAAUGUAACCAGCCUAAAUAUUAUUUACAUCCAACAUAAAAAAAUAGUAAACUUAUAUUACAAACUUAUGUAUGAUCAACCUUACCUAUAAAAUGCAUUGAAAAAAAACACCAAACAUGCAUAUACGUCUCUAAAAUCUUCUUCUGAUAAUGAUGUAGUGUCACUACAAUAUACAAUAAAAAAUACACAACUAAUAUUUGUAAUAGUAAAGAAACACAACAAAUACUAUAAUUUUUGUUGAUUAAUAUAAAAAAUAAUAAUACAACACAGAUAUUUAUCAUUAAAGCAUAAAAAAAACACAAGAUAAAUAUUUGAGCGGCAAAAUAAAUCCGCUUCAAAUCAAAUGCAAAUAUAAAUCAAAUAAAUUUUUCAUAAAAUAAUAACAAGAAAGUUUGCACAAAGAUAAUUAGACGAUGAUGUUAUAGAACUAGAUCCAUAAUCCAUUACGAUAUAAGAAAUAUAAUAUUUUAUUGAUAUGAUAAUAAGGCAUACAUGAAAACAAUGCUAUAACAACACAACAUAAGCCAUAUAUAAUAAUUCAAACACGUUUAAAGGAAGUGAGGUUCCUUAAGUGCUUCAAUGGCUGAUCCGACACAGCAGCUUCAUAAUUGUUAGACGAUGAACCGUCUUUGGCAGAAAGAGUGAGGUGGUAGUUGGUCCCUGCAACAACCUGUGAUUCACCUUUGAUAAGUUUCUCAAACUCCAAUGUUGCUCCUUUUUGCUUGUUGUACUCGACAACUGCGAAACGGGCUAUUUCAAUCACAUAUGGAUCAGUGAUGUUCUUUAUGGGUGUCCAACCGCCUGGUAUAGCUUGAUUCAGAGUGGCCGAAGCAAACAAAAUAAGGAAGAGGAGACUAAGGGAUUGAAAUCUCAUGAUGUCUGUUAACUUGAGAAAUCAAGAUGGUGUGAGUUAAACUCUGUGGUGUGGAGGAGUAGUUAUAUAUAAUGUACAAAAGUUAUGCCAUUUUUGGUGAUAUACUCUUUUAUUCGUUGAAUUAAAUCAAAAAUUUCAUUUGAUUUUAUUUCAUGAAAAUAAAAUAAUUUUUUUUUUACCAAAUAAAUAAAAUCUCUUUAAUAAUAUAUAAUAUUUAAUAAACCUACAAUUAGUUUAAUAGAAAAGUAUGGUCAAAAGUAUUAUAUUUAAUGUCAUUCAAGGAAAAUGUUGUCAAAAGUAUUAUAAAUAAUGUUAUUCUAAAAAAUGUCAUACAAUGUUUCUGUUUUUUUAAUAUAUUUAUUUAUAUAAAACAUUUGUAUAAUAGGUUGUUCUAUGUUUUUGAUUUUAUCUUAAUAAAUGAUAAUUAUUUUUUUUCAAUUUUUUUAAGUAAUAAUGAUAAGAGAUUAAUUACUAUACACUGUCAGUGUAAAAAGUUUUACACUGUCGGUUCAUCACCAUCACCCGUUUGUAUUACUUUGUAGAUUUUUAAAAUAAAAGUCAAACAUCUUUUAAUAUUCAACGUCUAUAAUUAACUGACGGUGUAAAACCCUUUUACACUGUCAGUGUAUUUCAAUUAAUCUCUAAUGAUAAAUAUUUUUCUUCUAUAUUUUAUAAUAUUUGACAUGCACUUUCUUUCUUUGUCUCAAUGAAAUAUUUAUUCCUUGUUUAAUUUAAUAUUUAUUAGUGACAAAAUAUUUGUUCCGCGCCAUUUAAUUUAUUAUGACAAAUUAUAUAAUUCUAAAAAAAUAGAACAAUUAUUUUUUUUACAAUAAAAAUAAAUAAUCAUUAUUUAUUAUUAAUAAAUAACAAAAUAGGAGACAAAAAGUUAUCAUUCAUGUAUAAAAAAGUGCAAGAUAAUCAUUUUUUUUAAUAUAAAAAAAAUGGGACACAAAUAUUUAUUGUUGAUGCAUAAACAAAAAUGUGACAAAUAUUUUUUAUCGAUACACAAAUUAAUUAAUAAAAUGUAAGUUCAAGAAAAGGAAACAUGUUUUUAACAUAUAGGUGAAAAUUGAAGACUAUAUCAUCAUAUAAAUAAUCCGGUUUAAAUUUCUUUGGCCCAUAAAAAAAUAAUGAAAAAAAUAAAGGGAAUAUAAAGCAUUAAAUUCAAGAUGUGUGUGACUGAAACGGAGGAGGGUCUCCUUACCUUUUGUUGGUGCACAAGAUCAAGCCCAAACUCAAAAGGCAAACCACAUGAUCAAUGAGUACCAAAGACCAAGAACUAGGGUUUUGCGCAUAAGUAAAUAUCAUGAUUGUAAUAUUUAUGAACCAUGGUCCCAAGCAAUAAGAAUUAAGGUUUCACCCCUUGAUUCCAUAUUGAUUGCACCACCACAAUCUCUAGGGCUUGAUCCUCAAGCAAACCCUAGCUUUUGUCAGGUAUAUAUAACCACAAACUUUGAGUCUAUAAUGUAUGUUUGAGAGUGCUAACAUGAAUGAAUGAUGCAUAUGUAUUUGAUAUGAAUGAGUACAGAUGAAUCUCAAACCACACGUCAGAUGAAAAGUAAAAAGGGGAGGGCAAAUUUUGGGGUAUGACAGCUGCCCCUAUUUAAUCAUCUUAAACCUGAAUGUGUGAAUUGUGACACCUUUUCGGGUAUUCAAGGUAGAAGAGGAUUAAAUACCAAAAUAUUCGGAAAUUUUCCCCUUGAGAAUGGUUGUAAUGUGAGAAGGUAAGUGUAUUGGGAAUAUGGAAUGACAAGUAGACUUUUAUAGGUUCAUCUGUUGGGGAUUGACUGAAAUACUCUGUUGGGGAAAUAUAUCAGUCGAAAAGGAAAAGCAUGAUAUGCAUGCUAUAUGCAAUGUAUGUUUAAUUUUUAAUAAUACAUGAAAUUAUGUAUUCUACAUAGAAAUGUGGGUUAUUUUAUGAUAAAUGAAUGAUAUCCACAAGGGUAAGAUUUUUCUGGUGUAGAGUAGACUUCAACUCACUGAUAGUCGCACCAAAGAACAUGUAAUGAAGGAAUGCUUUAUGUUACCACCACUACUGGAUAUGUUCACUUGAUCCUGCUGGGGAGGAAAGAGUGUGAUCUGAUCGAGCAUUCAUUGAGAUGCUCUCAUAUAUCAAGCACUUUCUAGGUAAUCAAAGCAACACACAAAGCUUUGCUUGUUCAUUUUCAAGGCUUCAUGCUAUGAGCGAAGCGACAUGAUUCCACAUGGUGAUGAAUUAUGCAAUGGUUAACCAGAUGCUCAUGUGGCGGGAGGUGGGAGAUUUAAGACUAGGAUAAAGGUCAUAAAGACGUGAUUCUCCGAUGCCAACUUCAGGCUCAACAGUUUUCGUCACACCUUUGCGCUGUUUUAAAAUAGGGAGAAAACGUGUACCUUAGUAGCCUACCUCUUCCCCAGUCUGUAGGGUGUCUGCAUGAAUUUCCCCAAUCACAAAUUAUGAAGCAGUCUUGUCAUGGGAAGAUCUUGAUUUGGCUUUCCCCAGUGUCUUGAAACUGUAUCUCCUUGAUCAACCAUUUCCAGGAGUGUUUGACUUCUCGUGCUCUUGAGUUGGCAUGCCCCAUUAUGAGCCUUGAAGUGACUUUAUCCCUGGUUGGCUAAGCUAGGAGAGAUUUGUCUUCUCGAUGUGAUUGCCCCAGAUUGAAUGAGUCUUGAAGUGGUAUUCACUUCUUCUCAAGGGAAUGUUCAGGCAUUUUACCCUUUGGUAUGAUCAAACUUCCCAUUAUGGAAACUUUCUUGAUGUCAAAUGCUUGUUCGUAAGUAAAAAUGUUUAUUUUUCAAAUGAUAAUUCUAACGUUAUGUUUAUGUAAAUUUUGAAAUCCAAAUAUGGUCACUAAAAUUAUGAGAUAUAAUGAAUGAAUCAUUAGUUAAUAUGUCAUAUCAAUACCAACAUAAAGGAUAAGCAAAUCUUUAAGAGUCAGUUUUACAUGAUCCUAGUAUAGUAUGCUUUUCAAAAUAAACCAUGCUUCAAUUAGGUCUUUUGAGGGUUAUGAUGUGGCCUGGUUCACGGUUUUAGAAGUAAAGGAUACAAGGCUCGAAACCUAUUCUAACCCGCCCAUUCUCCUUGAUGUUCUACAGUCCUACGUUCAGCUCGCUCAACACAAACACUUAUUUUUCAAAAUGGAUUCUGAAUAUUAGUUGUGAUGGUUAAGGGACCCAUGAGAUUUUGAGAGUGACAAUCACCCACCUUUUACUUUUUCUUGUAGCCACACGAAUUUUCUCUUGUUGAGGAUUCUUGAUUCCUCUUUUUUUUUUCUUUCCCUUAUUUUUGCCAGGACUGAUCCCUUUUUAAUCUUGCAGUCCAUCGGGAUGCCCUAAUUUUCUCCUAAGUCACUUAUUUUCAAGUUUUCGACUUAGCAGACUUUUCUUUUGCUUUUGAUUUCUUUGCAUUUCUCAUUUUUCUUCUCUCUUUUUAAUCUUGCAGUCCAUCGGGAUGCCCUAAUUUUCUCCUAAGUCACUUAUUUUCAAGUUUUCGACUUAGCAGACUUUUCUUUUGCUUUUGAUUUCUUUGCAUUUCUCAUUUUUCUUCUCUUUUGAGAAAAAAUUCUGUGACAUUUGCUUGAUUUGUUGAAAGGGUUGUGACUGUCUCGCUCCUUUUUUUUUGUAAGGGAUAACCAUUAGGGAUCUGUGAUUCAAUCCUCGCCUGAGGGAUAUUAUGUGGUUGAUCCUUAGAUAGGAUACUCUCAUUUUUGAAAUUUCAACGCACGGUCAAACUAGAUGAAGACUACCCUACCCCUGGUUAAGACUGAGGGUUUUAUGUAUAGAAAGAAACUCCUACUCCAAGGCCCAAAGCGUUGACUAGGGAUUAUCUUCCUUAUACCUCCGGUGUUUAGGGAUUUGAAACAAUGCCUUACAUCGUCAACAAGGUUUUAUUCAAAAGCAUACAACCAGUAGUCUCGUGUACUUUGAUUUCAUCAUUCUCUUUUGAUUUUUAUUAAGCAAAAGUAUGAUAUUGUAAAAAAGAUAUGAGUGAACACGAAUGGAUUGAUUCAAAACAUGCAUAUUCAAUUCAUUAUGAUUAUUAUUAAAAAAUAAACAAGUUUUUACAAGUGGAUAUUACAUUGACAAACAAGAAAAACUAUAGAUGAAAAUGAAUGAAAAAGUGAUCUUCAGUGUUGAUUAGUCACCAUUUGUGCUAGAAUUUUCAUCAGUUAUACGUCAAGAAACCAGGUAAAUUGUAGAAGUUUCAGCUUAAUUAUGGGUAAUUCGAGUCAGUUGGUGUCUUAAUAGUAUUUUCUUUGUUUAAGUUUCUGUUAUCUAUUUUUAUGCUUUUGGUAUGUGUGGCAUGUUGGAUCUAGGUAUAAAGGCACAAGGAAUCAAGGAUCGGACGCAGGACAUGGCCAGAACAAGGAAUUAGAGAAAAAAAGAAAAAAAAAAGUGCAAGCAUCUUCCCAUAUGCAUAUGUACUCAUAUAAUACACGUAUGAACCUGCACUAUACGCGUACCUUACUGUAGCACCUCAAAUUUGCACCCAUCAUUGUACAUACAUUCUCAUAUUAGGUCAUAGCAUAUCAUGGUCCAUUGCAUAGCAUUGCAUUGCCUCAGUUGCCUCAAGUACAAGCAAGUCAAGAAUUAGGUCAAGACUGAUCAGAUCGGGGAGAUCAAGUGCACCAAGCAAGCAAGGGUGUUUCUCAAGGAGAAAAGGCCCUAGGUUUGUCCAACAAGUUCACAUGACUUGGAGGUCCAUUUGAAGUUUUUAAGUCAAGGGUGCGAUGUUCAGAACCAUCAGUUCAUGCACAGACAGUCAAAAACCUAGAAAGUCAAAGUUAGUCAACUGUGUUGAUUUUGGGGUUUUUUUUUUUCGGGGGGGGGGGAUGGAUGGAUUGGGUUUGAGAGGGCUUAUUCAUGUCCAAUAGGCCUCAUAUAUCAUGGCAAUCAACUCAUUGAAGAAUUUGAAGCCAAUCAGAAAAUUUCCAAAAAUAGAAACUGGACUGUAAUUUUAACUGCAAAAAUGGAAAACUUCUUGAUCCUCACUUGCAUCAUGAUACAAGGCUUCAAAUGAAUUUUUUGCCCAACAUGAAAGUUGAAGAAAAAAAUCUNNNNNNNNNNNNNNNNNNNNNNNNNNNNNNNNNNNNNNNNNNNNNNNNNNNNNNNNNNNNNNNNNNNNNNNNNNNNNNNNNNNNNNNNNNNNNNNNNNNNNNNNNNNNNNNNNNNNNNNNNNNNNNNNNNNNNNNNNNNNNNNNNNNNNNNNNNNNNNNNNNNNNNNNNNNNNNNNNNNNNNNNNNNNNNNNNNNNNNNNNNNNNNNNNNNNNNNNNNNNNNNNNNNNNNNNNNNNNNNNNNNNNNNNNNNNNNNNNNNNNNNNNNNNNNNNNNNNNNNNNNNNNNNNNNNNNNNNNNNNNNNNNNNNNNNNNNNNNNNNNNNNNNNNNNNNNNNNNNNNNNNNNNNNNNNNNNNNNNNNNNNNNNNNNNNNNNNNNNNNNNNNNNNNNNNNNNNNNNNNNNNCAAGGGUUGGAUGUUCAGAAGCCAUCAGUUCAUGCACAGACAGUCAAAAACCCUAGAAAGUCAAAGUUAGUCAACUGUGGUUGAUUUUGUGGUUUUGAUGGAUGGAUUUGGUUUGAGAGGGCUUAUUCAUGUCCCAAUAGGCCUCAUAUAUCAUGGCAAUCAACAUCAUUGAAGAAUUUGAAGCCAAUCAGAAAAUUUCCAAAAAUAGAAACUGGACCUGUAAUUUUAACUGCCAAAAAUGGAAACUUCUUGAUCCUCAACUUGCAUCAUGAUACAAGCUUCAAAUGAAUUUUUGCCCAACAUGAAAGUUGAAGAUCUUGUUCUCCCAUUUUCAAAAAGUCCAAGAACUCUCAAAUCCCAUGAAUGGUUUGCAAGAUAUGGUCAAAUCAUUUUCACAUUUUCAUGAACUUCAAAUGGCCAUAUCUCAUGAUUCCUUUGGCCAAAUUUGAUGGGGUUUUUUCCUACAAUCUCCAUUUAAUCCCCUCUUUCCAAAAAUUCAUUCAUCAUUCACCAAAACCUUGCCAAUCAAAAUGGCAUUUUUUGACUUGUUUCAUUAAAAUUCAAGUUUGACCAAAGGUUGACUUUUUGAUUUAAUUGUUUUCAGCACAUUUGGCCAUUUGGAAUUGAUUUAGAAUGUCAUUUGCAACAUGUUCCAAGCCCAAAUUCGUGCACUUGCUAUCACAUACCACCAUUUUGGCCAAAAGUGCAAAAUUAGCAAUUUGAUUAAAAUGAGCAAAGUUUGGUUAGCACUUGAUUAAGCUUUGUUAAACAGCAAAUAUAAAGUGUUUUUUCUGUCAUUCUAAACCCUAGUCACAGCCUCCUAACACACAGAAUUCCUUCUUCUCUCAUUUUUGCAUUUUCACACUUUGAGAAUUUCUGACCAAAAGCUUCAAAGUGCUCGAGCAACCCUUGAUUGUUUCAUCACUUGGCCAACCUUUGGAAGCUAUUUUGGACCUUAUUCCUCGACUGUAAGCAGAGGAAACUCACUGUUCUAUUGCAAGCUCUCUCAUGGCAGAUUAUGGUUCAAGCUAUCUCGUGCAUUCUUGAGCUGAAAUAACUUCAUUAUCCAUCAUUUCAAAGCAUAAAGCACAUCUGUUUCGAGCUUUGAAGGCCAAAUAACCAUUACAACUCAACUGUUCUUCAAUCUUGGUAACAUUUCGAAUCUCACCUUUUACCAAAUUAGCUAUGCUAGGAAGGUCUUUGUAAGCUGAAUGCCAUUGCAAACUUGUAACAUCAAAAAUGGUAUGAAGCGGACGAAAUCGAAUUCUAUGUGUGACGCAAACUAUUCACUCGACUUCCGCUUAGUAAUGAGUUAAUGAGAUCUGGUUUCCAUAUUUGGUGGUCGGUGGAUGAUGCAUUGAUGUAUGAUGUCAUCUGGCAUAAAAAUCNAUGCCAUUGAUGUAUUUGAUUUGCGGUUCUGGGCAUAAAAAAUUUUCGAGUUGAUUUGAAGAUGAUGAAGCAUACUGUAGCAUUAAAACCCUAGCAUUUUCCAGAAAAAACCCCUGUUUCACGUAUUGCAUGUGGUUGUUUACUGUGCAUUUCCAUGAUAGCCAAUUAAAACAUUUCAUUUGCCUGGCUGAAACUCUGCGUUUUGAUAAGUAAGGGCGGUAAUUGCAAAAUUGCCACCGGUCAACCAUGUUGACCUAGUAUAACCAUGUUCUUUGUUCAUUUUUGUCUCAAUUGUUAUUCAUCUUCCAAAAUUCAUUUCUCACUCAAUUUAACUCCAAAAAUCAUGGAAUUUUUUGCAUCAUGUUCAUGAGAAUGUCUUUUAUUUUAUCAUGAUUUUUGCUGAAUUUUUGGUUGGCUGUAUUUUUAAUGGUGCUAGUUUUCUUAACAUGUAUGCUCAUUUGACACAUGUUGCCAAUCCUUUUGUGAAAUGAUCAUGUUGCAUCCUUUUGAUCUGAAAAUUUUUGUGGUUAUUCUACACUCAUCCAUGCUUAUUUUGGUAUAAAUUUCAUGAUUUUAUCAUAUGUGGAUUGAGAGCUUUGAUUUUUUUGAAGUAAGGUGUUACAUUUGAUGUCACACCAUGAAUGUGCAAGUUCAUGAAUUUUGUUGACCUACUUCUUGGCCUCCAAUUGACCCCAAAUUUUGCAUGAUCCCUCUCAUAUAUGUCUAGUUGACUUGUGAAUUUUCUUGGAUUUAUUUGAGCCAUUUCCUAAUUACUUGAGAUUUUUCUUCCCUGCCUAGUCAUUUGUUGACUUUGUGUGACACACCUUGCCAUUUCAUUUGGGAAAUUCUCAUGCCUUAUUGUAUGAUCAUGCAAUUUUGCAUGUGCAUACUAGACAUCUUGAGAUUUGCAUUGGUGUUGAUCCCAUCCAUUUCUAAUCUGUUUUCAUUUUGUUAUGAUUUUUUGAAGAUGACACAUGUUUUGUUGACUUCUUUGUGCACACUUGAAAUUGUGUUGACUUCCUGAUUUUAAUUGACUAUCUUCCCAUGAUCCAAUUGAGCUGAAAUUUCAUAUGCAUGCUAUGUUAUGGAUUGUGAUUGAGCAUGAAUUAUUUGAUAAUUUUUGGAAUUGAUUAUGUUUGCUUUUGAGCUUGGUCUUGCUGUUGACCUUUUGCAUGUUUCCUUUUUGCCAUGUUUUGACUUCUUUGGUCUAUAAGAUGAUAAUGAUGCAUGAUAUGAGUUUGAAUCCAAUUGUGCUUGCUUCUUAAAUGCUUGAACUUGACNNNNNNNNNNNNNNNNNNNNNNNNNNNNNNNNNNNNNNNNNNNNNNNNNNNNNNNNNNNNNNNNNNNNNNNNNNNNNNNNNNNNNNNNNNNNNNNNNNNNNNNNNNNNNNNNNNNNNNNNNNNNNNNNNNNNNNNNNNNNNNNNNNNNNNNNNNNNNNNNNNNNNNNNNNNNNNNNNNNNNNNNNNNNNNNNNNNNNNNNNNNNNNNNNNNNNNNNNNNNNNNNNNNNNNUUGUGCGUGGAUCCCGUAGAGUACUACGGAUGCGUAGGGGUGCUAAUACCUUCCCUUCGCAUAACCGACUCCCGAACCCAUUCUCUUUGGUCGCGAGACCAUGUUCUUUCCUAGGUUUACUUCGAGCGUUUCCUUUCCCUCUUUUGGGAUAAAUAACGCACGGUGGCGGCUCUGUUGUUUCUUUCUUUUCCCGCCGGUUUUUCGCGUAAUGCGACACUUACGAUUUUUACCAGAAAGGAGAAAAAACGUGUUUGCUUCCCUUACGCAUAAGAACAAAGGUGUUACACGUAUGACUGUGACUAUUACUCGUACCAUGCGAGUUUCACUAGGAAGAGGAACAAAAACAAGCUUUUGUCCAUACGCGUACCGUACGUGUAAGGGCAUGCUUGAGAGGCCACUAUAUUGGCGUACACGUAAUGUAUGUCUUCAAGGAAUAAGGCAAUAUGCGUAUGACACUGGUCAUUACGUGUAUUAAAGCCCAAAUAUUCAGAAAGCCCAAAUUUUGAGUAUUUAGCUCCUUAACACGAUUUUACAAGGUUUGGACAAUUUUACUGAGAAAAAACAUGUUCUAAGGCUGGAUAAUUCAGAUUUUCAAGGUGGAUUCAAAUUUUCAAGAGUUUUCUGCAAUUGAAGACCAAUUCAUCUAAGAUUUCUGUAAUGACAAGAAUCUUUACUAUGUUUUCUUUUCUUUUUAUGAGUAGCUAAACCCCUUAUUGGUAGGUGGUGUCCCUGAUUCAAACUUGUAAUGGUUUUGAAUUACUUUAUGCAAUAAAAAUAAUUUUUAGUAUAGUUGAUUUAUUAUCAUGAACGUUCUAAUUGCUUUCUCUAACGGACAAACGGAGUUUGAUGUAUGUGAAAUAAUUAGGAUGACCGCCAUUAUUCAUGACCUGCUUGAGAAUAUAUCAUAGUAGAUGAUGCAUAGGACUAGGGAUACCAUAUAAUAACUGGAUUAUUCUUGAUAUAAUAAUGUUUAAUUUCAUCCUUGAUUUUCUAUGUACAUAGUAAUUAGGUUGAAUGAUUAAAGAUUUUCUCACUAAGGACUUAGGAGUAAACAUCCUUAAGAAUUGGUAGUCAAUUAUAUAAAAGUUGUUGUCGCACCGUGAGUUUGGAAUCGUUACAUGAUUGAAUCAUACACCUUCCCUUGCAUACUACUUAUAUUUAUCUUAACUGUUCAAGUAUUUUAUUUACUUUAUUCGCUUUUGCUUUUCUAAUUUCAUCAAAACAAUACAAAAACACCCAAGCUUUUGUUUUAAUUGAAAUUAAUCCAGAACUCUGUAUCAUCAAGCAGUCCUUGAAAUCGAUACUAGGGAUUUCCCCUUUUUGUUACUUCAUUGGCAUAUUAGUACACUUUCUAAUUUUCUGAUCAAACUUUUGGCGCCAUUGCGGGGGACUGCCAAAGAUGAUAGAGUUCAUAAAUCUAUUUCAGUUAAAGUUGUGUUGCUCUGCAACUAAAAUUUUAAAUUUCAGUUUUUUGUGUGUGGCUAUUGUUGGGUUAUAAAUAAUCUUUGUAAGUGAGAAAAGCCCUCAGCUGAUUUUACUUUUGAUGCAAAACCAAAAAGAACUUUUCACGCCAGGCUACGACAAGCUAAGGAAACAAGGUUGACUGCCACUGAAGCAAAAAUUUAUGAACACUCAAAUAUAGAAUCCCACAGAGAAAGAGAAGAUCCAAUUAUGGCUGAACCACAAGAAAGACUUCGUGGGGAUUAUGGAGGCGAAAAUGCCCCAUUGGUACAUUUAACUAUAGUGAAUCAACUAGUGAAUGUUCCAAAUUUUCAAUUGCAUCCAACAACCAUCUGUCAGCUUGAGAAAAGGCCUUUCACAUGGAAAAUCAAUGAAGAUGCAAAUAAACAUAUACAAAGGUUUCUUAUUAUGAGCACUACUUUGAAGAUUGAGGGGCACACUGAAGAAGCAAAAUUUUUUUGAGAAUGUUCCCAUUCACUUUAGCUGAAGACGCUGAAGAAUGGUAUUAUUCAUUGUCAGCUGGAAGUAUUACUACAUGGGAACGGAUGGAAACAACUUUUCUAAAUGAGUACUUUCCUGCUUCUGUUUAUAAAGAUAAGAUAUUGUGAAUUUUAAGCAGAAAGAAGGGGAAUCAAUGGGUGAUGCAUAUAAGAGAUUUAAAAGGUUACCGGUUGCUUGUCCCACUCAUAACUUGGAUCAGACUGAAUAGAUGAAAAUGUUUGUUAACGACCUCAGAUUGAAGACUAAGCAACUUAGUGAUACAACUUUCGGUGGCUCUGCCAAUUUUUACAACAUCCAUUAUUAUCAAGAAGAUAAUAGAAGCCAUUGCUGCAAAUGAACAUCUAGAGUUAUAUGACCAAAGUGCGAGUAAAAUAGAAGGUGUGAUUGACUUGAAAAGUUGUAAAUCAGAUUGUGAAGAUGGAAGACCAAGAUGCUGCUGAAGUUGAGAGAAGACUUAAGGCUAUGAAUAUAGGUACUCAACAAGUAGCCGAAGUUCAACCUGUUCAAGCGGUUGAUUGUGAGAUUUGUGGAGGGGCCUAUUUUCCCAUGCAUUGUGUUUCAACUACAGAAAAAAUUGAGGAAAUAAAUUUUUUGAAGCAAAACAACCCAUAUUCUAACACAUAUAAUCCGGGCUGGAAGAACCAUCCAAAAUUCUCCUAGCAAGAUCAGCAAGGGAAUGUUCAAAAGUAGGGUCCUACUCAGUAUCAAAACCAACCCAACAAUCUUAGAAUCCACAACAUCAACAACAGUAUCGACCACAGCAACAACAACAGUAUCGGCCACAGUACCAACCACAACAACAACAAUAUCAACAACAUGCACCCAAAAAGGCCAAUUUGGAAAUUUCCAUUGAAAAGAUGGUAGCUCAAAGUUCCCAGUUCCAAGUAGAAACAAGAAAUAAUCAAAGAAACACUAUGACUUCUAUAAAAAAUCUGGAGGUUCAGAUGCCAUAACAAAUAGCAGGUUCUCAAGCACAAGGUUCCCUACCUAGUGCAAGUAUGACAAACCCGAGAGACCAUAAUAAUGUGAGUGUAGUGACAACAAGCAGUGGGAAAUCACUUGAAGUUCCUGAAGAAAAAUCAAAGGAAGAAGACUAAUUGAUUGAAGUGGUGCUAGAAAUCAAAGAAAAUCAUACCACUACAGAGGAAUAGGUCACACCAAAAUAGGUUGUAAAAGAAAAACCCACUUAACGAAAACCAAUCAUCAAACUACCAUUUCCUACAAGGAACAUGAAGAAUGACCAAAAUGAGAAAAAAAUUGAAAAGUUCCUAGAGAUGUUUAGAAAGCUAGAAAUCUACAUUCCAUUCUCUUAGGCACUUGAGUCGAUGCUCAUAUAUGCGAAGUUCAUGAAGGAUAUUAUCUCAAAGAAAUGCACGAUUGAAACUGAACCUAUACUGCUAACUAAAACUUGUAGUGCUAUUUUAUAGGGUAUGAAGAUCUCAGUCAAAAAUAAAGAUAGAGGUUCUGUCACCAUUCCAUGCACCAUUGGGGAUAGAUCAUUAAAAAGGAACUUAUUGAUUUGGGAGCUAGUGUGAGCCUUACGCCUUUAUCCAUAUACAGGAAACUGGGAAUAGAAAUGGUACAGGAUACCAGGAUGACACUCCAGUUUGCAUAUCAUUCAGUGAAAAGACUUUAUGGUGUAGUUAAAGAUGUUCUUAUUAAGAUAGAUAAAUUUGUGUUCCAUGUUGAUUUUGUGAUCCUUGAGAUGUUGGAGGAUGAAGAGAACCCUUUAAUUCUGGGAAGACAUUUCCUAGAAAUAGGGAGGUGUAUGAUAUACAUUUAGGAAGGAACCAUGACCCUCAAAGUUUAUGAUGAAGAGAUAAAGAUUGAUGUGAGAAGUAUCAUGAGACACAAAGAAGACGUAGGGAAAAGUAAUGCAGUGGAUGUGAUAGAUAAAAUGGUAAUCAAAGUUAUUCAAAGCCAAGUCCAUAAGUUACCUUUGGAAAGAGUUCUUAGUUUGUCCGCCCAGGAAAUAGAGGAUAAUGAUGAUGAAAGAGAGAGGGAAGUUCUAGCUAUGUUUGAGGUACAACCACCGUGGUUGAGAUCCAAACCACAACGGUGGGAGGAUUUCAAAGCUCCACAAGAAGCUGAGACUAAAAAGGAAGUUAAAAUAGGUACAUGUGUAGAACUGAAGCAAUUAUAUGAAAAUAUGAAAUAUGUCUUUCUGGAUUCUGAAAAUAAUUGUCUUGUAAUAAUAAGUUCUGGGUUACAAGCAAAAUAAGAGGAGAAAUUGCUGCAGGUGUGUAGAAAUACAAAAGUGUUAUGGGAUGGACCAUUGGAGACUUGAAAGGGAUUAGCCCCAUAAUAUGCAUGCAUAAAAUAAUGAUGGAGGAUAAUCACAAACCAGUGGUACAACCCCAAAGAAGGCUGAAUUCAGCAAUGAAGGAAGUUGUGAGAAAAGAAGUGGUGAAGUUGUUGAAUGCAGGGCUAAUCUACCAUAUUUCUUACAGUUCAUGGGUGAGUUUAGUACAUGUGGUACCAACGAAGGGAGGAACAACGAUGAAUCUAAAUGAGAAAAAUGAAUUGAUUCCCUCUCGCAUGGUUAUAGGAUGGAGAGUGUGUAUUGAUUACAGGAGGCUCAACACCACAACAAGGAAAGAUCACUUUUCUCUUCCUUUUAUUGACCAAAUGCUAGAGAGGCUUGUAGGUCAUGAAUGUUACUGCUUUUUAGAUGGAUAUUCAGGGUAUAACCAAAUUGUUGUAGCCCCAGAAGCUCAGGAUAAGACAAUGUUCACAUGUCCUUAUGGUAUUUUUGCCUAUAGGAGGAUGCCAUUUGGGAUGUGCAAUGCCCCUGCUGCUUUUUAGAGAUGUAUGACAUCUAUAUUCACCGAUAUGCUUGAAAAGAACAUGAAGGUGUUUAUGGAUGAUUUUUAUGUUUUUGGAUCUUCUUUUGAUCACUGUUUAACUAAGUUAUCUCAUGUUUUGGAAAGGUUCCAGGAAACUAACCUUAUUCUUAAUUGGGAAAAAUGCGAUUUCAUGGUACAUGAAGGUAUAAUGAUGGGUGAGAAAAUCUCCCACAAGGGGAUAUAAGUUGACAAAGUGAAAGUGGAAGUAAUUUCUAAUCUCCCACCACCAGUAAAUGAAAAGGGGAUAAUGAGUUUCUUAGGACAUGCAGGUUUCUAAAAUUGUUAAGGACAUGCAUGAAUGUAAUGAUGUGUAUUAUGCAUGACUGGUUUAUGCAAUGGUAUGAGGGUUUACGGAUGCCCCAAGUUUGGGUAUGGUGUAAUGAAUACUGAGAAAAAAUUGCUUUGGUUGUAAGGCUCCUGAUUUAUAGGGUAUGAGUUACGUCUUGCAUGACUACCCGACAUCCUCAUAGUUCUUGAUAUUGCUGGAGGAAGAAUCUGACAUGGACCUUCUGAUGCCCCAAAUUGGAUCUGAAAAGCUCUUACAAGAAAGGAGAGAGACUUUCUCUCUUCAGACAGUCUUUCCCUAGUCUGCUGGGUAUUUGCAUGAAUUGCCCCAGUUACUGGUUAUGAAGAAAUCUUGCCUCUGACUGGCCGAUAUUUGAGGGAAUGCCCUUAACUAACUAAUAUUUGGAGAGAUUUGUCGAAUCUCGAUGUAACUACCUCAAAUUGAGUGAAUCUUAUAGAUACUUCUCGACAUGACUGCCCUAGAUUGACUGAAUCUUGAAGCGGCUUGUCUUUCUUCUUAAUGGAGUUUUUAGCCAUUUUGCUCCUCGACAUGAUCAAACGAAGUGGCUUGCCCCUCCUCAACAGAGUCUUUGGGAAUUCUUCACUUCUGUUGCAGUCAGGAUCCUCAAUUUAUGUUCAUUGUGGAAGAUUCCUUGAUGUCAAAUGCUUACUCACGAGUAAGACAGGAUCCUUUAAGAAAUGAUAAUGUCAAUGUUAUGCUAGUUUUGAAAUCCAAUUUUUUUCACUGGAAUUAUGACACAUAGUGAAUGAAUCACUAAUGAUAAUGUCAUAUCGAUACCAACACAAAUUAUAAGAAAAUCAUUAGGGAGUCAGUUUUAACACGAUUUUACUGAUCGUAGUACUUUUUUGAAAUAAACCUUGCUUCAAUUAGAUCUUUUGAGGGUUGUAACGUGUCCUGGUUCACAGUUUUAGAAAGAAAGGAUUUAUGGCUCAAAACCUAUUCUAACCCACCCAUUCUCCUUGAUGUUCUCCAGUCCUAUGUCCAGCUAGUUCGAUACAACCGCUCAUCUUCCAAAAGGGAUUUGGGAGUGAAGGGAACCUACAAGGUUUUUAGAGUGGCAGUCACCCACCUUCUGUUUGGUUUGUGGGAACACGAUUUUUUUUUUGCUGAUGAUUUUCUUUUUUUAUUCCUCUUUUGCUUAUUUGUGUUUUUUUUAUUUCCCUACUUUUGCUGGAUGGACUCGGAUUUGCAAUCCACAGGGAUGCCCUAAUUUUUGCCUAAGUCACUUGUUCUCAAGUUUUCGACUUAGCGAACUUUCUUUCUUUCUUUUUUUGGUGGAACAAAUUGUGUGACAUUUGUUAAUUUGAUUUGAAGGGGUUGUGAUUGCCUCGAUCCUUUCCGGGUGAGGGACAACCAUUAUGGAUUUAUGGUUUCCGACCUCUCGUGAGGGAUAAGAUAUGGUUGAUCCUCAUAUAGCACACUCCUGUUUUGAAGUUUGAACGCCUGGUCAAACUAAUUGACGACUAUCCUACCCCAGGUUAAGAUUGAGGGUUUUAUGUUUAAAAAGAAACUCCUACUCCUUGGAUUGAAGGGGUUGACUGGGGAUUAUCUUCCUUAUAACUCCGGUGUUUGGGGAUUUGAAGCAAUGUCUUACAUCAUCAGCAAGGUUCUAUUCAAAAGCGUACGUGCAGUGAUUUCAUGUGUUUUCAAUUUCAUCAUUUUCCUUUUGAUUUCGCUUAACAAAAGUUUGAUAUUGACAAAAUAAAGUAUGGGUGAACACGAAUGGAUUUAUUCAAAUCAUGCAUAUCUAUUUCAAUGUCAUUAUUAUUAAAAAACAAACGAGUUUAUUACAAGUGAAUGUUAUAAAUGACAAACAAGAAAAUUACACAUGAAAAUGAUUGAACAAACUAAUGAUUGCUGGAGUGAUCAACCUUAUUCUCUUACAUGUGGGGUCUUGAAGAAGCUGAUGGGACAGUCUGACAUAUAAAACUCCUUUAGAUCUACCAUUUAUAUAACUAUGGCACUGCAUAUGUGCUUACCUGCAUUACAUUUGGAACAACUAGCGUGAAUGAGAUAGCUUUCGAGUCGAUUAGGUCUUGGACCUUAUGCUUCAUAGCUCUGCAGUUCUCGACAGUAUGCUCAAGUGGUCCAAAAUUGAAUUCACACUUAGCAUUGGAAUCACAGCCUUGAGCGAGAGAUGUUUGGGGAGGUACUAACUCUCUAUAUUGCACCAAAGAGUCUCAAAGCAAGCUAACAAGCAGUUGACUGUACGACAUAGGGAUCAAAUUUGUCCUUAUCUUUAGUUUCCUCAGUUUCUGCUGCCCCUACUGAUAAUGAUUAUGUCAUUAUGGAGCGUAUGGUUGUUGAUACUGCAUUAGUGGAGGACCAUUAGGAAUAACAUAUAUGUUGGCGGCUGAUACAGUUUAGGUGCUACUACUGCCACCUGAUGGUAUGGCAUUUGGUAGGUUCCAACUCCCCCCUUAGUGAUUAUGGCAACAUUGGUCUCACAAUCCUUCUUCUUUGGGAAUCCGGAAUAAGAUUUCUUUGCUCCAUUGGCCGUAGCUAUUGUAUCUUGUUUCUUGACGACCUUCAAGAAGUUCUCGAUUCACUCACCAGUAAUGACCAGGUUUGAGAAUCCUGAGGAGACGCUUCCAACCAUCCUAUCGAGAUAAGGCCCCUGAAGGGUGUCCAUGAACAUGUGUACCCGUUCUCUUUCAAGAAGGGGGGUUGAACCCUGGCAGCUAAAUCUCUCCAGCAUUGGGCAUACUCUUUAAAUGAUUCAUUUGUCUUCUGAACAAGGCUUUAGAGUUGAGUUCGAUUGGAAGCCAUGUCUAAAUUAUACAGAUAAUGCUUUAGUAAGGCUUCAACAAGUUCCCUUAAGGUUCGUAUAUGUGUGCGCUCGAGUUGCAUAUACCAUUCCAGAGAAGCCCCACUAAGGUUGUCUUGAAAAAAGUGCAUUAAGAGUUUUUCAUCAUCAGAAUGAGCAACCAUCUUUCUGCAAAAGGCUCGAAUAUGGGUCUUCGGGAAGGUGACCCCUUGAUACUUUUCAAAGUUUGGAACUAGGCACAUGUCAGCAACAUCCAUCCCAAAGGUAACAGGUCUUUCUAUUGCUUUGAACCUCUCCUUCAUUAUACGAAACUUCCUUUCGAUGUCAGCAAGAGAAGGACCAAAAGCGUCAUAAACAAAAUAAGCCUUUGUAUUGAAGAAAGCAUCUUGAUUAUCUUCGUUCUCAGGUUAAGCUCUCCCAUUGAUAUGGAUAUUGAAUGUAUGACCAACAUUUUGAUAUAAUGGACCUCUUUCAAGAGGUGGUUGAGCCACAACAUGUGUACUAGGUCCUCCUAGUGGAUUUAUUGGCAUUGUCACAACAACAGAGUUAGAAGCGGCAACUCUCAGAUUAGCCUAACGCAUUUCCUCUUAACCUCUAGCCAAAGCUUGUAUGGAUUCAAUAAGAUGACCCAUAUGGGCCUUCAAAAUGGUCAUAUUUUCCCUUAUAACAGCUUGGUUCUGCUCUAAUUGAUCCAUGAGAAGUUUCUGAUUACUGCAAGUAUUAUAUGGAUGCCAGGAAGCCAGCUUGAUUGUAGCAGAUUCUGGAUAAAGGCCAAACAACAAUGAGCUUUCUGAAUAGAUAUGAUGAAAUGCAAUGAUGUAUGAAUGUAUGCAAUAAUUAUUUUUUUUGUGUUCCCAGAGGAAUGCGUAUGCUAAGUCAAUUUUAUGAUGCGAUGAGCUGGCAUGCGUCAUCAUAGAUUCAACAACUUAGUAUAAUAUAGAGAUUCUGGAUAAUCUGGCCAUAUAACACAGUAUAAAAUCAAAGGUCCGACAUGACCUAGAAAAUCCGGGUAACCUGUCCAUGUAGCUCAGUAUAAGAUCAACAGUUUGAUAUAAUUUGGAUAAUGUAACAUGUCCAUGUAACUUAAUAUAGGAUCAAAGGUCUAACGUAUAUAAGAGAUCAAUGGUAUGAAGGGUCUUGGUUUCCUGCACACACAAAAAAACAAUAGCCCCUCUCACAGGUGUGUAUUACUCCUCAAAGAUGGUCCCUAAAAGGUAUCCCAGAGUCAUUGACUCAAAUGAAAACACCAUGCCAUAGCGAAUUCUCACAGGAUAAAAGUACUUCCAAGUGAAUCUAGUCUGAGUGUGGUUCUCAUGACAACCUAACGGGAAAAAUGAAGGCCUACACGACUACCCACGAGUCUAUCCUAUGUAUAUACUUAAGCUUCAGUGUAGAGUUUCUCUCAUAUAGUAUCAUCACAUCCCAACAUAUAAUAUGACAAAUAAUAUCCAGAAUACAACAUCAUACGAAUAUUUAAAGCAUUAAGGUAAAUGCAACAAAUAACAUAAAGAAAACGAGUAAAGCAAUAAAGAUAAACACCUAAAAUACGCAAAGAAAACAAACAAAAUUGGGCUCAACUUGCUUAGGAAAGGGUCCCCGGCAGAGUCAACAGCUGAAGCUACGCGAGUUAUACCCGAGCAUAUCGCAUAUUCAGAGAAACAACAGAGUCGCCAUCGAACUUUAUUUAUUCCCGAAGGAAUGGGAAAACAUCGAUAGAAUCCGGGGGAAAGAGAAAAGGGUAAGGAAGUCAGUUAUGAAAUGGGAAGGUAUUAUCAUCCCUCAUAUCCAUGAUACUCCAUGGGAACCGCUUUGAAUUUUCUUUGCAAGAACGAGUGUUACUAUCUGAAGAUUACUCGUGAAAGGGGAAAUUAGGGGUUAAUAAUUAAUGUGCUCGCCAAGGAUUAGGGCGCUUGUGCCUACAUAUUCUCACAGUGUAAUGAGAAAGUCAGAGCUCCUUAGUUUGUGGAACUAAGACAGAUGUGUUAUUUGUUUUUAAUGAACAAUAUUAACAUUCGCGUUCUACUGUCAACUUGCGUGUAUGCUCGAGCAUGGGAGUCUGAAGCGUCUAUUUGUUUGCGAUAGAAUGGAUGAACUUGGAUCACACUCUAGUAGUUAAACAUUGCUUGCUCACACAUGAAGGCUUAAGCUUCAUUCACGGUAGAAUGGAAGUAACAUGUCCUUUCUGAAAAGGUUUUAAACUAAAAAUGAAGCUCAAAGGCAAAAUUAAAUUUGAUAAGGUGAGUUUUCUUUUAUUCUGAAAAGAGAGUCAUGAUUCGAAUCGUACUAAAGUCUAUGAAUGGAGAUGAAUACAGUGAAGAAUUGGGUCAUGCGUCUCGUACCCAAAGAUAUUCAGAAUGAGGAUAGGAAUUCUCCACUCUCAUCCCUUCUCCAUUACUUAAGACUUGUAGCGUACAAUAUUAAUCAUAUUAUUAAUUGUUUUUUGAGUUUAUUCACAAAAUGGUUUUAGUUUUACUGAGAGAGAACAAAGGGAGAAGAAGAAACCCUAAAAAGUUGAGGUCUGGUCUUCAUUCUGCAUCCCAUAUUUGUGUAGAAAAACUUAUCAAUCAUCCGAUUUAAAUUGCACUAAAGUCUAUGAAUAUAGAUGAAUACAAUGAGGGUCAUUCACCCCGUACCCAAAGAUAUUCAUAAUGAGGAUAAGGAUUCUCCAUUCUCACCCCUUUUCUAUUACUUAACGCUCAUGACGUGUAAUUUGCAUCAUAAUUGAUGAGUUUUGAAGUUGAAUUUCCUUGCAGCUUCAUGUGAGGAAAGGUUGUCCUUUAAGAAAGGAGACUUGACAAUCAACUUAUCAAAUUAUGCUAAAGUCUAUGAAUAUGGGUGAAUACGAUGAGCAACUGAGUCAUUUGUCUCGUACCCAAAAGAUAUUCAGAAUGAGGAUAUGAAUUCUCCACUCUCAUCUCUUCCCUAUUGCUUAAGGCUCAUGGCACAUAACUUGGCUCAUGAUUGAUAAGUGUUGAAUAAACCUUUGUAGUGCUUGGAUAGUAGUCUAAUAUGUCUUGUACUGAUUUGAAUUGAAUGAAGUCUUGAAUUUUGAUCUUUGAAUCUUGAAAUCUUAUACAAAUCUUGAGAUCCAGUAUCCAAUACAUAUUUAAUAUAAGAGACUUUCCCUAUCAAGUGAUCAAGGGUCUUUUUAUCACUUGAAUAUGCUUGGGGAAUUGAGCACAGUCAAAGGAUUUAAUUGAUCAAAGCAAACUUUGAUCAACUGAAUCAAUCGGGGAAAAAUCAGUUGAAAAUGAAUUGAAUCAUGUAUACAGUAAUCUAAAGGAUUAAUUACCCAAUCAGAAGAUUUUCACAAGUCCUAAACUAAGGGAACAUGCAAAUCAAGAUAUUAUACACCCUAUGGGUAAAAUGGUCAUUAUCCUUAAAAUGAAUUAACAAACCUAAUGGUCAAUUACAAUCCCAGCAUAGCAAAAUUAACCUAAUGGUCAAUUACAAUCCCAGCAUAGCAAAAUUAACCUAAAAACGAAUCAUGGAAAAAAAUCUAUACUUAAGCAUGUAAAUCCAAAUCAUGAAUAAAGUAAACAAAGUGGAUUAAUCAAACUAAAGAAAUGGGAAGUUACAAUCUAAAUAACAACUUUAUUUAAUGAACAUGAUCUUGAGAAUUAUAAUGUGAUAUACGGAUCAAAAUGGAAAAUUAACCUAAUGGAAAAAUCAUGGUAGAAUCUACAAUUAACCAUAUUAAUCCAAAUCAUGAAUAAAAUCGACAAAUGGAUUGUCAAAACCUAAUGGCAAGUGAUACUAAAUCAUGGCACGAUUAAUCAACAAUUGAAUUAUCUUCCAAAAAAUCCAAAAAAAAAGGAUGUAAUUAACAUGAUUAAACCUAAAUCAAACUCUAAUUAAACUAAUCAAUUUUAAGGAUGAAAAAUUAACCUAAUUAUGAACAAAAACUUUAUUAAUCCCUAAUCAAGAAAUCCUAAUUUUAACCAAGAUUAAAGAGUGAACAGUAGCAUGAUUAAGCACUAAAAAUAAAUAAAAAUUAAGAUUAGAAUUGGAUAAGGGAGAGAUCAUCAAGAAUAAUCAAUGGGACAUGGGGUGAAUCAAAUGGAGGGAUGUUCAUUGCAACCCAUGUCCUCAUACAACAAUACCCAGGUAAAACGUUCAGUAUCCACAAAUUCUCCUCAAGUUUCACUUCACUUCCUCAUUGCAAAAUCAUAGGUCGAACGCGCUCAACAGAAGAAUUUCAACAAGAACGUGAUUCAACAUGUUAUUAUCGAAUUUCAUACGUAAAAAAACAUAUAGCCAUCUGUCGCAACCUGAAAAAUAAAGUGCGAAAAAAAACAACCGGCGAAAGAAAAAGACAGAAGAGUCGCCACCGUGCGUUAUUCAUCCCAAAGGAGGGAAAGGAAACGCUCGAAGUAAACCUGAAAAAGGAAGGACAAGACGGGGUCUCGCAACCAAAUCUUGGGUUUGGAGUCGGUUAUACGAAGGGAAGGUAUUAGCACCCCUACGCAUCCGUAGUACUCUACGGGAUCCACUUUUUAGUUCUUGUCUAAAGGGUGUGGGUUUAUCUAAUGUACUAUUUACUAAAAAGGUUAAGAGAAAUGACUCGCGCGGAUGUCGCAUCAGCUGCAUACGUAUCUCAUCUGAAUAUGAGAAUCAGAGUCUUCGUAGCUCGGCUACCUAUGGGUUGGGGGGAUGUGUGCUCGCUAAGAACAUCGCGUCUUAUGCCUACGUAUCUCAUCUGGCCUGAGAAUCAGAGCAAAACGUAGUUCGGCUAACUGUGGGGUAUGGAUUGGGUUUUGGACAAACGACGUCACUACGCAAUCUACCGGAUGCUCGACCUUUGGAGACUUACUCGCCUGUAGUAGAAGGAGUUAACGUGUUGCUUUGGGUUUAGGGUUUGGGAUGCUCAAGGGCAAAAAGGCAGUCCUUGAUGAAGGAACCGCGCUACCUGCAGGGAUACGAACACAUACAAAACAAACAUGUAUAAAGUAAAUGUGCCAACAAGGGGCUCAGAAGUAAAUAAACAAAAGAAAAACAAAUGCCUCCUAUCGAGGUCUUCCAGCUAAGAAAGCGAUAAAUGUGGAAAAGAGGUAAAAGUACCACACGGAUGAAGAUCCGAAGUAACAACAAUUAAAGGAGUAAGAAACCCAGGGACUCCCAAGCUAAUGCCAUCAAAGAAAAGUGAGUCAGUACAGGUAAUCGGAAUGAACCUCCAGGGGGUAUCCCACAAAUAAAGUGGGAAAACCACGCAAACCAUCUCUGCAAGAGUCUGUGAGCCCUCACAAAAACUCAACAAAAGGGUUAGUGAAACACGAUAAGCAUUUUUUUCAUGAAUAACAGUAUGGUUUCAGAACUCAAACCCUGUGGCAUACAUUUCAGAAAUCAUGUGAUUAAACAUUCAAGGCAUAGGUUCACCCAUUCACAUACAUCACACAUUUAGAACAUUCAAAUUGAAGGCGUAAAAUAAUGGGAAUAGGGCAAACCUGAUUGGAGAGCUUGAUUGAAAUUGAGUUGCACCCGAGGCCCUUCAGGGUUUGGAGGCUGCUUGAGUUCUCUGUCAGGUUUCUCUUCAGGUUUUGUCCAGGGUUUUGUUCCAAGGAACCUCAGAGUAUUUUGCUUCUCUUCCUUUUUCUCAAAGUGAAGCCUUGGUAUUUAUAGACUGAAUUUCAUGGUUUUGUGGGCUCAAAUGAGAGAGACCCAAGUCCAAAUUUUUUUUUAUUAUAUUUUAUUUAUUUAUUAUUAUUAUUUUUAUUUAUUUAAUUAUUUACUUAAUUAAUUAAUUAAUUAAAAAAAUUUUAUUAUUAUAUUUUUGUAAAAAAUUAUUUUUUUUCGUUUUUUUUUUUUAGAUCUAAUUCUGAUUGACAUGAUGAAAUGCAAUAUGAAAUGCUAAAUGAAUGCAUGAAUGAGGAGGGCAAAUUUUGGGGUGUUACACCAUCGAGAAAAAUCAAGGACUCACAUCCUCAAUGCUUAAUCGAAGAACCGAGAAUGAAAAGUUGAGUUCGUAUUCUAACUCAAUCCUCAAGUUGCAAUCAACACUGAAAUCGAAAUCACUAGAGGCUUCUCCCUACGUGCUGAAUCGAGAGAUCAAAAGGAGAAGGGAAAUUUACCAGCUUGCUCCGACGUGGUGGCUCAGGUAACGACUUCCUGCGAUCUUCUUAUUCUCUUUGUUUCUACCUUUUUUCUUUUUUCUGUUUGAGAUGGUCGUCUCUGUUUGCGUAUUUAUCAUUGAUUCGGUUGUGUAUUUUGUAGAGAGUGGUUCAAAUUCUGGAAGAUUGGCUAGGUUCCAUCAUUAGUAGAAUCAGGUCAGAGCGAGUUUUUAUCUUUUGUUCUGGAAGUUUCAGGUUCAGUUUGAGUUUAAUUUAUAAUGCAGUUGCAAUUUGGUUUGAAGGUUUUUAAAGGAUGAAAAUUACCUUAUGAGUUCGUUGAGAGGUUGGUUUUUAUGCAGGUCCUCGAAGGAGUUCUUCUAGGGAGUUCUGUUAUGAGGAGGUUAUCACAAUUAGGAUGUGGAAGGUGAUUUUUGUUCUGUUAUGGUUAUGUGAGGGUCCAAAAAGUGAUUAGGGAGAUGGAGGUUAGUUUUGUUAUCACAGUUCGGUUAGGAAUUCUAGUUCAGUAAGUUGGAGAGAGAAGUUACAGUUUGUUAGAUUGGUUAAGAAGCGGUUAGAGGUCGUUAGUUGUGAAGGACUCAGUUAGUUAUUGUGAAGAUUGAAGUUAAUAAGUAAGUUGAAAUUGGUUUUUUCACUCUGUUAUGUAUGUGCUGGUGGAUCGAUUUACUGAGUUAGAAUGUUUUGCAGGGGGGUUAAAUUUGGUUUUGUUAUGUAUUAGGCAGGUUUGGACUAGUUUUGUUAUGAAAAAGAAGGUGAAAACAUGUUUUUCUUUGUAGGGUUGUACACUGAAUUUUCUGCUAUGUAUUAUGUAGGGCUUUCCUUCACAAUGACAUGCUAUGCAUUACUUCAAUGUGCUAUGUUGUGGAUCAAAGGCAAUGAAGUGUGGACUACAAUUAGGUGCAUAAAAGUUUGGAAAGUACUAUGGGCUCAAAUGUACAUGUUAUGGAAUUGGGAUUGGAAAGUGUAUUAAUGGUUGAAUAUGAAUUGUGUAUGGAAAAGUUUGAAAUUUAUUUUGAAUGUAUGGCUCAAUCUAUUUGUACAUGGAAUGUUUUUUGAUGUAAUUGGACAUUGAAUGUAUGGCUUAUGUUAUAAUUUGAAUUAAUGGUUGAAUGUAACAUUGUAUUUUUGGAAUGACAAUGGAUGUAAUGGUUAUUAUUGACAAUGAAUAAAAUGGUUAUUUGGACAUUUGAAUGUAUGAGUUACAUUGGUACAUGGAAUGGCAUUGUUUAGAGAAUUAAAUGGUGUAAUGAACCAAGGUUUAAGUCUUGGUUGUAAAUGGCUAAAAAAAUGCAAAACAGUUUAUGUAUUGUAAAAAAUGAACAUGGUUUAGAAUGGAUAUGUAGUGCAUUGAGAAAUAAAAUGGUUGGAAAAUGGCUUUGGUUAGAUGGUUGACCAAAAGGUCAACAGUUGACCAAUAGUAAACCUAGGUAAAGAUGUGUAUUUUUGUGUAAUACCUUAUGCACAAUCAUGAUGUAAUUGUAAUGAUAUAUAGUGAUACUUUAUGAUGACUUUAAUGGUAUUUACAUGUUUUUAAAUGGAUGGCUUUAGAUUGAAAUGAAAAUGAACUUGAAUCAUGACUUAAUGGAAUGAGUGAAAUGGACUUUGAAUGUGGACCACAAUGCCCUUAAACCAAAUGAAAUAUGCCAUUGAAUUAGACCUGAACUAAUGAACUCCAAUCAAGCAAUAUCAUGGACAUGUAAAACUUUGACUUAAUGCACCCUAAUCAAGGCAAUGGAACCAUAAACAAGUAUGACAUUUGAUGAAUUAUCAAUCAAACCAAUGAAUCCUCCAUAAAUGACUAAAGGACCCAGAUGACCCUCAAGCUUGAAUGCGCACAAAAUUGGUGAUAGUGCCACAACCAACAAUUAGGGUUUCAGACAAAGGUACAAGGCUCCACAAGCACUUCCCCAAACCAUGGGCCCCUAAUUAGGGUUUUAGGGACCGAAUCCAAUACCAGUGAAUCAGGGUUUCCCCUAUGCUCCAUGAUAAAGACAAACUAGGAUGAAGGGCCCACCUCCUAUUCAAUGUGUUGUGUGAUAAAAACCCUUAAAUCCAUGGCUUUGUGCUUCUCAAUGAAAAUGGAAUAUGUUAUGAUGCUAUGGGUAUGUAGAUCAAAUGAAUGACCACAAGGAUAUGCAUAUGAUUAGGGUUAGUGACCUAUAUGAAUGAUCAAUCACCAUUUUCACUAUGUUUUCAUCACUGAUUCGACAAGAAACCAUGAAUUCUGGAAUACUCUAUGCGCAUUAUGUCACAUUUUAAGUUAAUUUUCAUUUAUGUAAGUUAUUUAAGCAUUUUAUCGGUUUUUAGUUUUAUUUCAUGUAUUCGAGAUUUUAUGCUUUGGGUGCCUAUGUUUAUUUCCUCCAGGUCCAAGUAGAAGAUCCAACGGACUCAAUGCAAGAAAGUAGAGGGUUCAUACAUUCGAGGAAAGGAGAUUACUCAGUACAGGAGACCUGACACGGCCACCCGAGUCACCUGACACGAGCCGUGUCAGGAUGAAGGCAAAACAAGACAAGAGAUGGCUAAGACAGGGGCCUGACACGGCCACCCAUGUCAAUUGACACGGGCCGUGUCAGCCCCCCUGGGAUGAAGUUGAAGAGGAGGAUCAAGGCAAGAGCCUGACACGGCCACCCGUGUCAGCCCAGGCGCAAAAUAUUCCAAUUUUUUGGCUUUUUAUUUGGGCUUUAGUAGCAAGGACAUUCUGGGGUUUUCCAACCAAUGCCAAGGGAUUUUCACUAUUUUAGGAGAGUUUCUACGAGAGAAGGAGGACACUUUGGAGCGAGGAGAAAAUAUAACAUAUAGAAUUGUCAGACGAUCAAGAAUUACAGAGAUCAAGGAAUUCGGAGAGCGGAAGAUUUUCAUGAGCGGAAGCAAUUAAAGAUCCAAGUCAUCCAAUUACUUGUAAUGUCUAAUUUUUAUCUUGAAUUUGUUUUGAACAAUAUGAGUAGCUAAACCCCCCAAUGCUAUGGGGUGUCCCUAAUUUAGAUUUGUAAUGACUUUGAGUUUACGAUUGCAUUGAUAAUUGUUUUUCAUAAUUACGAAAAUCUUUUAAUGUGUUUAAAAUGCUUUCUUUUUCGGACCAAUUGAGAUUGUUGUAUGGUUAUCAAUUAGGUUGGACCGUCAUUGAUAAGGUUUUCAUAAGAUUACUUUGUAGUAGAUAUCACCUAGGACUAGGGAUACCCUGUAUUGUAUGAACCAGAGGAUUCUUGAUAUAAUAAGGCUUAAUUUCACUGGUAAUUUUCUAUGGACAUAGAGAUUAGGGUAGAAUGAUUAAAGGUUUUCUCACCAAGGACUUGGGAGAAAAUACCCUUGAGAACUGGUAGUAGUUAAUUGAUAUUUGUUGAUGCAAUAGUGACUCAGAGUUGUUACAAGGACAAAUUAUACAUUUUCCCUAGCAUGUUCCUUUUUUCCUUGAAACCCUUAUUUUUACAGUGUUUAUUUUAUUCGCCUUUAUUUUUAUAAAUCUGAAUCUAAAACCCCCCAAACACUAAUUUUUGUUUAAUUGAACGAUUAUUUGAACUUGAUAUUAACGUGUAGUCCUUGAGAUCAACAUCAGGGGAAUUUCCCCUUUAUUACUACAAAAGGCAAAAUAGUGCACUUGCUAUUUUCCCGAUUAAUGAACAUUAUGAAGGGUAGAGUGAAUUUUGGGGCAUGACAAUAUGCAUAAGACAUAGGAAUUGGAUCAUAGCAAGGAUGCCUCCUUUAUUGAUUGUGGUUUCCUUUGCUGAUUUGUUUCUGCUUCAUUUUUUGAUUUCCUUGGGCGGGUUUUUAAUGCAGUAGGAGAUAUUGUGCUUAGGGAGGAAGUUGUAGAAUUCCUACAGUUGCAUUUUGUAAGUUAUCCACCUUAAGUUUGUUCUCGGCUUGCUUACCAACUACAACUUAAUCUGAGAGAUCCAUUGUCAAGCUAUCUGGGAAGAGUCCCAAGGUCAUGCCAACUCUGCCUUCGACAUAAUCCAAACUCUUCUUUCACCUGGUAUCCUCAUGAUUACCCUGUUCCAUGAUUCUCUGAAAAUUUGCGUCGGUGAAUCGUUGUCUUUCUGUUUGAGGAAUGGGAAAUAGUGUAAGCAUGUUAUUUUAUGGUAUGAAAGGUUAUGAAUGCAUGGAUGAAUGAGAUGCAUGAAGGAAUUUUUUUUCACAUUUCCAGGGGAUCCCAAGAUUUUUGAAUGUUUAACACAAACUAAAGCUUUUGGAUUCCAUAAGAGUGUACAUGCUAAAAUUGGUUUUGAUAUGAUGUCAUGAGAUACAACAUGAUAAAUUCAAAGGUCUAACACAUCUGAAUAAUUUGUCCACACUCCUCAACAUGAGUUCAAAGGCAUGACGUAUCGACGUAUGUAGAGGCAUGUUUUCCUACACAAAACACAUAUUCCAUCACAAGGUAGGUUCUAAGACUUUAUGAAGGUUCUUAGAGUCGCGGAUCCUGAGGCAAAAAUAUCGUUAUCAUCACAAAAUGACUUGUGAGCCAACAAUACUCUCAGGACGAUCUACUCUAAGUGAGGACAAACCUCAACUUCAAAAACCAUAAGUUAACUAAAGGUCCCUAGAAUCAGCGACUCCCUUUGGAAGAAUGGUAGUCAAUGCAAAAUGACUUACGUGGCAAUGAAACUUCAAAAGGAAUAUACUCUAGGUGGGGUCUUCGUACCUUCCCAUCAAGACAACUACGUCUGAAAAGUCAGUAUGGAGCUCCCAAUCUAUCUCAGGUAUACUCUUAAAGUCUGGGUAUUGGGCUUCUCACUCAAUAGCAUCAUAAACCCAUCCCAUAAGAGAAAUAAAACAAAUAUGUCUAAGAUAUAAUAUAUGAAAGCAAUAAAGCAUGCGAUAAAUGAAAUAAUGGUAAAGCAAGUAAAAGUAGUUAAGAUAAACACCCAAACAAACAAGGAGACAAAAAAACUAGGCUCGACUCCUACUUGCAAGAGCAAGGAAUUCCCAUCAAAGUCGCCAGAUGAUGGGGAAUCCCACCGGCAAGAUUCCCCAGCAGAGCCACCAACUAAAGCUACGAGAAAAAUACUUAAGUGCGUCUCACGCUCGAAGAUACAACAUAGGUCGCCAUAGAAAUUUAUUUAUUCAAGAAGGAAAGAGAAAACAUCGAUAAAACCCGGAGGAAGAGAAAAAGGAUAAGGAAGUCGGCUAUGCAAGGGGAAGGUAUUAGCACCCCUUACAUCCGUUAUACUUAACGGGGACCGUUUUGAUUGUUCUUUGCUCGAAUGGGUGUUAUUAUCUAAAGAUUACUUGCAACAAGGGAAAAGGUAAAAAAGGAAUGGAAUAAUUAGAGUGCUCGGUGAGGAUUAGGACCCUCAUGCCUACGUAUCCUUAUAGUGCAAUAAGGAAUUCAGAGUUUCGUAGUUCAUAUAACUAAUGGUGAGGGAUGAAAGAGAGAGUGAUGUAAUGAUAAUAUGGUUUGAACCAAAGGACAAUGUUGUUUGCACCCGUAGGAUAGUUAUGUCUGAACCAAUGAGAAAAGGUGGCAUAUUGGACGAAAAUAAAGGGUUUUAUCCUAUAUAAGGACUUUCAAGGUAACAAAAGGAAAUGUUAGUGUAAACAACGAGAGGACUUACAAGACAAACAAAAAGGGCUCUUGGUUCAGAGGCAGGCGUUGGUUAUUGCCCAAAAGUAUAUAUGGAAUCCAAAGAAAGAUUGUAUUUGGUUCAAAGAGAAAGUAUAUAACUAAUGAAUGAUUGGAGGUUGGGGGUAGUGAAUGAUAUAAAAGAUAUUUAAUGGUGAAUGACGGAGGGUGAAUGGAAGGAUAAAUAAGAAUUAAUAAAUAAAUAUGCUCGCCAAGGAUUCGAAUCCUCGUGCCUACGUAUUCUCACUAUGAAAUGAGAAAGUCGGAGCUCCGUAGUUCGGGGAUCUAAUGCGGAACAAAGAAAGAAAGAGAUGAUUAGGUUGUCAAAAGGUGAAGGAUUGCCUAAACACAAGAGGAUUUAUAAGGCAAAAGAGAUCGAAUAGAUUCGUCUAGGCACGAGAGGACUUAUAAGGCAAACAAUGAAUGAGAAAUGAUUUGCCUACACACGAGAGGAUUUACAAGGAAAAAGAGCUCGAAAGGGUUUGUCUAAGCAUGAGAGGAUUGACAAGAUGAACAAUGAAUGAGAGAUGAUUUUCCUACACAUGAGAGGAUUUACCAGGCAAAAAAAGCUCGAAGGGGUUCGUUUAAGCACAAGAGGAUUGGUAAGACGAACAAUGAAUGUGAGAUGAUUUGAUUACACACAAGAGGAUUUACAAGGCAAAAGAGCUCGAAAAGGUUCGUCUAAGCACGAGAGGAUUGAAAAGACAAACAAUGAAUGAGAGAUGAUUUGCCUACAUAUGAGAGGAUUUACACGGCAAAAAAAGCUCGAAAGGGUUCGUCUAAGCACAAGGUCUUAUGACACGAAAAAUGAAUGAGAGAUGAUUUUCCUACACACGAGAAGAUUUACAAGGCAAAAGAGCUCGAAAGGGUUUGUCUAAGCACUAAAGGUCUUAUGAGACGAGCAAUAAAUGAGAGAUGAUUUUCCUACAGAUGAGAGGAUUUAUAAGGCAAAAAAGCUCGAAAGGGUUCGUCUAAGCACGAGAGGUCUUACAAGACAAACAAUGAAUAAGAGAUGAUUUUCCUACACACGAGAGGAUUUAUAAGGCAAAAAAUCUCGAAAGGGUUUGUCUAAGCACAAGAGGUCUUAUAAGACAAACAAUAAAUGAGAGAUGAUUUUCCUACACACGAGAGGAUUUAUAAGGAAAAAAAGCUCGAAAGAGUUUGUCUAAGUAAGAGAGGUCUUAUAAGACAAACAAUGAAUGAGAGAUAGUUUUCUUACAUACAAGAGGAAUUAUAAGGAAAACAUGAAUGUUAGGGUUCGUCUAAGCAUGAGAGGUUUGACAAGACGAACAAAGACUAAGAGAGUUUUCCUAAGCAUAAGGGGACUGAUAAGGCAAACAUGAAUAGGAUAUUAAUUGGGAUUCCAAGACGGGUAUUUGAUAAUGAGGUGAUUAACCCAAAGGAUGCAUGCGUAACAAAGACGAUUGUUAUGUUUGAUCAUUCAUGAUGAAGAUUGUUGAAAAUAUUGAAUGAUGAAGAGUUUGAAUGUUGAAAGAUUUGGAUGUUGCCUUAAGGAAGAAGAAUAUAUUUGAUUGUUUAUGAUUAUGAAAUUUGUUGGGUGAGUUUAAUUGUUGGUACUUAGAGGGAGACAAGCGUCUAACCACUGGCUAAGUACGACCAGCAAUUAGAAUACUUGGAAGUUGAGAGGAUAGUUUCAUCCUAACCACUCUUUUUCACUCUUAGAGCAUCAGAUUAGACUCAUUUUAUUUGUUAAGUGUUUUGUAAGAAUGUCAAGUAUCGGGCCACAAGCUAGGUACGACCGACAACCCAAGUACUUGAGAAUGUUAUGCACAAGUACGUACACCCCAUCUUUUUCAUCCAAUUUAUUAUGAAAAUGAUUUGAUGAAUAUAAAUGGAUAAAGAUAUGAAGUUGAAUAGGAUGAGAUGAAGAAUUGGAUGAGAUAGAAUGGAAAUGGAAAUGCAAAUGGAUGAGAUACUUGACAUUGGAUCAAGAACUCGUGUUGCUUUUGAUCUAACUUGACUUUGAAAAGCACUUGACGUUGAAUCAAGUGGGUCUUUAUUCUUUUGAAAAGUAUUCUUUUUAUCGUUUGAUUUUAUCUUGUUAAUUACAUGCAAAGUAAACAAUAAGGAAAUAAAAUUCUAAGUUAUUACAUGAUCAUGGGAAUGGGGGACAUAUUACCCACAAUGGGGGGAUGAAUCAUCAACCAUACAAAAAUGGGAAUAAAGGAUCCAUACAAACAUAUAAUGAUACCAUGCCCUAAAAUCAAUCAAGGGGAAAUGGUACCCUAAUAACUCCACAACUAUGAUUAUGUACCAUGCGUCAAAAUACAAUCAAAUGGAUACAAAUUGGUAUGCUAAUCUAAAUAAUUAAAAUUAGGGAUCGAGUCCUAAAUCUAAACAUGAAUCAAAAGUGGCUAAACAAUUAUGUAUCACAUUGAAUUACUAACCACAUUUAGCUAAAAAGUCAACAUACAAUGAGGGGUUGAAAAUACGAUGAAUCAUUACCUUUAAAAAUGACCUAAGGAUCUAAACUAAUUAGAAUCAAAUCAUGUUCUAAAGCAUUAAUCCAUUGAUUUAACAAAAUAGUUCAAAGUGAUUAACAAAACCUAAUUAAAAUUCUAACCAUUUAAUCAUGUAUUUUUGUAAAUAAUGUGAUCAAUCAUCAUGCAUUAAAAUGUGGCAAAAUGAUAGAAAAAUCAAUAAUAAAAUAAAAUAAAAUAAGAAGAGAAAAAAUAAGAAAAAGAAGCAUGGGGUGCAAACUGAAAUAUGGUGCAAAUAGGAAAUGGAAGUAGGGCCCAUGUGCAGAAAGCCCAUAUUUUCCUAACUUCUGAUCAGGGGUGCAUGAUGAAUUCAUGGUGCCAAAAGGAAAAUGUAUGGGCCUAACAGGUUAAGUCCAAGUACACUUGUGGGAGAGGGAGUUGAAAAUUUCAGAUGAAGUUCAAACUUGAGCAAAAAUGUGCGCUCCAUGACAACACAUAAUUCAAACAUAUGGCCUGAGCCACCCUCACAUCCGUCGCACUGGAGGUCGCCGACGACGGAGGAUGAGAGUUAUCUACUGAGAAAAAUACACCAUCUAAAUCGUCUCCUCCUUCUUCAUUCAUAUCUAUCAUUAAUUUUACAUUACUUCUAACCUAAAGCCUUAACCGGAAUGGGAUUAAUUAAGAACCCUAGGUGUUCAAACAUAAAUUAAAUCAUAAUCAUGCAUGGAAUUGAUCCACAACCAUGGGGCUUACAAUCUACUACCUUCAACCUACCAUCUGGUAACAAGAAUUUGGAGAAAUUGAGUGAAAAAGGAGAGCUUACCUGAGCGAUAUUGGAGUUCAACAUGCACCAUAACAGGUAAGGUAAUUCUUAUUCUCGUAUCAAUUCCUCUUUCUUCUUCUUCUUCUUGGUUCUGUGGAUGUGAAUGAUUGGUGAGAGUGAGUUUUUUUUACUCGAGUGAUUUGAGAUGAGUGAGUAUGAUGAACUGCACUGAGUGUUGAUGAACAAUCCUUUGGAACAGAGUGAUGAUGAUGUCAAUCAGGGUUGAUGAAGAAAUUGGUGAAAAUUUAUGAAUCCAAUGUUAAGUGAAGAUGAUGAAAAAAAUUGUGAUUGAUGAUUAUGAUCUGAAUAUGUGUCAAUGUUGAUGAUUGAUUUCUGUUGAGUGAAUAGGUGAAUAUGGUGAAUUGAUCUUAUGUGAAAAUUUGAUUCCCCUUGAAUGAGGAUUGACGUUAGCUUUUAAAGCCCUUAAAUCCUCUCAACCAAAUCAAUUAGAGGUGGUUAGUUAGUUGGCCUUGAAAAUGAGUGUGGAAGUUUGUUAGGAAAAACUGUUAAGGUUGUUGGAGAAUUGUUAUGACAGACUGAACUCAACCCUGUUAGUUAGUUAGGUGGUUUUUUUCUGUUAGAAAUUUUUGGUAGGUAGUUAGUUAGGUUAGGCAUGAGGUUAGUUAAGUUAGUUAGGGAUUAAGUGGUGAUGUAGCAAGAGGUUAGGAAUUUAGGAGGUGGAGUUGUGACAGCUAGAUUGAGUGAACUGAGGUUGCAGAAAUUAUGUUAUGAUGUGAGUGUCUUUGUGAUGUUCCAUUGCUGCUUGUUGUUGGUUAUGGUAGGUUUGAAUGGUUGUUGAGUUAGAUAUGUUGCAUUAUUUCCUGCUAUGAAUGAUGGUUGAUGCAACGUAGUAGGUCUGCAAUGCUACUUAGAUGUUAUGGCCUGCCAUGAUGUAUGAAUUACUGUUAAGUGAUGCUUGCAUUGUGGCUGCCUUGUUAUGCUUGCUUGCUGUUGUUGUUUCUUAUGUAUUGGUUAGUUGUGAUGUUUACAUGGAUGUUAUAAACAUAUGGAAAUGUGAAUUCAUAGCUUACUUAUACAUAAAUGCUUGUUAUUUCUGCUAUGAUGCAUUAUUGCUUGGAAUGUGGUAUGAGCUGCUAGCAUUUAUGCAUUAGUGUUGGAUCUGUCUUGAUAAUGUGCUAUGACUAAUUAGCCUACCAUGUUAUGUUGUAUUGGUACUAUUUAAUGCAUUAUUGGCUUUGGUUUGUACAAGAGAGAUAUGAACUGAUACAUGUUAUGUCUUAGCUUGUUAUAAAUCAAGGGUUGCAACUGUUAUCACUACGCCAAAAACUGGAAUAGACAGCGCACCUUAGAGGGCGCUUUCUUAAAGAAGCGCACUCUAAAGUGAAGAGAAAAAUAAGGAGGAAUAGACAACGCACUUUAGAGGGCGCUUUUGUAACAAAGCGCCCUUCUAAAGUGAAGCGAAAAAUAAUGAGGGAAUGGAGGGACACCAAUAGAGGGCGCAUUUAUGAAGCGCCCUCUAAGGGUACCCUUAGAGGGCGCUUUUAAAAAAGCGCUCUCAUAAGUCCAUGUACAUUUCCAGUUUAUAAAGCGCUUUUGGAAAGCCUUAGGAGCGCUUUAGAAGCGCCUCUUAGGCCCCUUUAGAGGGCGCUUUUUUUACACAAGCGCCUCUAAGUCCCUUAUUAACAUUAAAAUUAUAACAUAUAUACUGCAUGUCUCUUUAUUUUCCUCUCUAUAUGCUAUUUUCGUUUACGUAAUGGGUUUUCUCUCUACUGCGAUUACUUCUACUGUGAUUACUCUCGUCCUCCGUUCGUUCUCCCUCCCUACCGUCGUCGUCGCCGAGCCUUUUUCUGCUGCUGCAUUCACGUUCACUGUUAUCUGCGUCCACCGUCGCUGUUCACUUUUCUUCUCCAUCGUUACCGUCACCUUGAGGUAUCUUCUCUCUCCAUCGUACCGUUCACUUUCUUCAGGUGUUUGAUUGGCUUUUUCUAAACUGGUUUUCAUUUUGUGCAUUAUGGUUGAUAAUGUUGUUUAGGGCAAACGAGCAUUAUAUGGUGUCAUGGCACCCUUGUUAUAAGGUUUUUUAUUUCUGCAUUGAAAACUUGAUGUCAUUGGAGUGUGUUUGAGCUUGUGCUUGGAAGUUUGAUGAUUAUGGAUGCAGUUUGUUCAUGUUCAACACCAUAGUUUGCAUUGGUCUUUGUAUGCAGUAGUGUGUGUGAUGGUAUUCUAAUGAUGAAAAAAGAGAGAGUUUAGUAUUGUUGUAACAUUGAAGGAAAUGGAAGGUAUAUGAAUGUGUGUUUUUGUGUGUAGCUUCACGAAUAUGGUCAUUGUCUUACUUGGGGUCUUAUUGAAUCUUUCUAUUUAUACAGAUAAAAAUGGCUAACCAAGACGAUACCCAUUGACGCGAGUGGAUCACGUAACAAUGUUUGAAAAAAGAAAUCAAAUGAGGAUUGAUGUUAUGAAGUCAAUCAUUCGUGCAAGAGACAAGGGUGAAAAAUUCGAAAGUACAUUGGAGUGCUGAAGACCAACUAAUUGAGCCUAACGGUUCAAUGUUGACAAGUUACAUUGGUUCCCUUGUUCGACAAAUAUUCCGAUACAUGUCAUAAUUGGAGAAGUCCGGAAUUGAGGUUGGCAAAGAAAAAUAUGGUCCGAGAUACAGGUACUUACCAUAUAUUAUUAUAUGUUUUUUUUGUUGACUAUUUGUUGACCAUAUAUUGUUAUAAUAUUACUUAUAAUAACACACUCCUUUGUAUGUUUUUUAGAGAUCCUUUCACCAUCGAUGAAAGCGGCAAAAUAUUGUAUUCAAUUGGCCGGAAAAAGACUCCGAGGAUUUCGAUCCUUUUUGUCAACAAAUUUCUCAAGGAUGAGGAAGGAAACUUUGUUGAAGCAGAACGGCCAAUGAAGUAUGCGGAGAUUAUUUCAGCGAAGAAUGGGAUAACUUUGUCGCCAAACGAAGAAACGAAAAAUUCCAUGUAUGUCUAUUAAUUUUGGUAUUAUACAAUUGUUAGUUACUUGGUUCUAAUAUGCCUUAAACUUUUUUAUCCAGGAAGUAAGCGACAAAAUCGGAAAGGGCAUCAAAACCGCGUAUCCGUACAAAAAGGCGUACGGGAUAUGCACGGUUACAACAAAGAAUUGUGAGUAUAUUCAAAUGCUAUGACUUAUACAUUGUCACAAUAUGUUAUAAUUGAUGAUCUUAUAAAUAUUCAAUUUGUAGCUAGCCGAGGAGAAAGUGACACAACAUCUCUUCCGGAGCACGUAUGUGGAAGGCUGCUCGGCGUUGGGAAGGAUGGGGCUGUCGUUGAAACGUUUCAAAAUGUUUAUGACGAAUGUGUAAGUAUAUGUAACAUUAUUUUCUUAAUUAUAUCGAAAUUUUGUUAGACAUUAAUUCAUUUUUAAUCUCCUCUAAUAAUAUUUCAGGAGACUCUUAUCCCAAACCUUACCUUCAACCGAGGUCCAGGAUUGCAGAGCGUACUUAGUCGAGUACUAAAUGUUCCUGAGUAUUCGGUCGUGUGAGGGGUAAGGGUUUUUGUGUGACUCCGUCGUCAUUUUAUUAAAAAAAACCAAAACAAAAAUCCUUACAACAAAGAGGUGAUGGAGACCUUGGCGGUUUAAGGGCACAAAGUACUCGAACUGCAAAAGGAGAAUGCAGGUAUAGAGAGGAAAGGUGCGGUUCCGAGGCAAAGAUACUACGUGACCGAGCUAGUAUCAAUUGUCAACCGAAAAUUUCCCGAGGUAAUUAUAUAUGUUAUUAUGAAAUUAAAAUAGCACUUUUUUACUGACCACAUAUACACGUUAACAAUAACAUUUUAUUAUUGGUUUAGGGCAUACACCUUGUCAGCUGUAUCUAUCGUCACAACUUAUCGCAUAGUUGGCAAGGAAAAGUGCACAACAUUCGGGUGAAUUACUUCACCAUAAUCCCCUCCCGGUGGGAUAUAUAAAGUUUCGGUUGACCUUGUAUUAGAUACCGACCGGCUUCUACCAUUACCUGACGUUUUUCAGAGACAACGUUGAGCGAGAUGCAGUCGGAUCCUUUGUUGGAUGGCCGUCAGAUCUAAUUUUCCCAGAUGCCGAGGUAUAUAUGUUUCUAAAUGAUUAUGAAUAUUUAGUAUUCACAUUUCAAUUCAGCUACAAUUAUGAUAUUUAAUCAAUCCUUAUUACAUGGUAAUGUUAGACUCCUACAAGACCCACACAUAAAGCUGGUAAAGGGAAUUCAAGACGCAUCGAGUCGGUUGCAUCUACAAAAAGGUACAAAAUAUAUAUACCAUUGAAUUAUAUACGCAACGAUCUGUUGCAUCACAAAAAGUCAGGAUUUAAUUUAUAUGAAUUUUUAGGUUCCCGGUCGAAAGUUGAAAAAAGCUGGUAACGAUAUUCCAACGACGUCCGGGACAAAAUCUCAAAUUAUGAUGCGUCUUGAGAAAAUGGUGGAAGAGGCGAUAUUAUGCACGGCGCCAUCCGUUAGUGUAGAUUUUGAUGAAGGUGUUUUCGGAAUUGCUCAUUCGAAAUAAUUGCAAAGGAGGACAUGCAACAACUUUUUGAACACGAAAAUUGGGCAUCGCUGUCAUUCAUACAUACAUAUGGUACUCCGAUCAAUCUAUUACUUACUUAGUUGAACAAUUUAUUUACACAUUUUCAAUGAGUAGUCUAAUGUUUAUUAUGUUUCUAUUAGGUAUAUUAUGUAACAUUGAUGCGGGGAACUGAAUUGUGUACGAUUCAAUUUUAUUGCUGCUUCCCGUAUCAACACAAUGUUUUAUAACGAAAAAUCCAACAUCCGUAAGAAUGAACUAGUCGAUAGAUUCAUGGAGGCCGGCGAUAUACUACACCAGUUGUAUUUUUUACCGUUUAUUCUGGCAACGGUUAGAUUUUCUUUCUAAUAAUUUAUUUUAAUCUAUGUAUAUCUUUUACGUAGAAAAUUUUCAUGGACUAAAUUUUUGUUUUAUUUUACAGUGCGUCACUGGGUGUUGGUUGCUAUGGAUCUUUCGAGACUAAUGGUUGUAUUAUCUCGAUUCGUUAUCAGGUGAUGGAGUAAAUAUCCGAGUAUGAAGAAGACGGUUGACGCGUAAGUGAAAUUCCCCUAAAUAUUCGUGUGUAUUGUAUAUUUUAAUUAUGUCUGUCAGAUUGAUCUCAAUAUACGUUUUAUUUUGUUAAGGGCAAUACUAAAAUUUAGAUCGAAAAAUAAUUACCGUAAUAGGAAGACAUUACCUGGGUCAGAGUUCAGGUAUAUAUUAAGUAUCUUAUUUUGCUUAUAAUAGUGUUUGUUUUUUUUGCUUAUAAUAUGUUUGUAGAAAUUAACUAAUAUAUAUUAUUGUUUGUUUUUUUUCUUGUGUAGUGUCCUUCACAAAACAUUCGGUCGAUUGCGGAUUUUUUGUAUUGAGAUUUAUGAGAGAUAUCAUUGCGUUGAAUCGUAUGACAUCCCAAAAUGGUAUGGAAUAAUAACUUUAGGGUUUAUUUUAAUAUAUCGGAUAUUUCAUCUAAUUUGUUUACAAAUCAUGAUAUGUUUUAUUCUCUUAAUUGUAGUACUUUGAGGAAUACAAAUCUUACUCAAGAAGCUCAUUUUGGAUGUAAAUGAAGGAUGAAUUGUGUCAAUUCAUUUGUUGAUCAAGAAUCAUUAGCUAGGUUGUAUAUUGUUGUACAUAUAUGUAUGGAAUGUUUGUUGUUGUAGCUGUUGUUGUAUAUAUGUUGUAUAUUGUUGUUGUACUUUUACUAAAUCAUGAAUAUGUUGUUGUAUAUUGUUGAUCAAAAACAUAUAUUAAUGUGUAUAUAUGGGAGGAUUAAUGUUGUAUAUAAAUGGAUUCAUGUUGUAUAUAUCAAUGGAUUAAUGUGUAUAACAUUGGAUUAAAGGAUGAAAUCAAUAUGAAUUUUACACUUUUGCAGCAUGCGAACAGGUUACCAAUUAAAUAUCCACUGUUUUCAAAUAAAUUUUUUAAAUAACUAACACUUUAGAGGCGCUUUCUGUAGGAAGCGCCCUCUAAACACUUUACAUUGACAACUUUAGAGGGCGCUUUGUCCAGAAAGCGCCCUCUAAACACUUUACAUUGACAACUUUAGAGGGCGCUUUUCCAAAAGCGCCCUUAAGGUGUCCCUUAUGGACCACUCCAGAGGGCACUUUUUUCUGAAAGCACUAUAAUGUGGCCCUUAAAGGGACCUUUAGACAACGCUUUCUCCAGGAAAACAAAGCGCUGUCUUUACCUAUGCCAGCGCCACUUUAGAGGGCGCUUAAAAGCGCUGUUAUAGGCCAAAAUAAGCGCCCUCUUUUCCCUUAUUUGGCGUAGUGUAUACUUGAAUGAAUACCAAUCAUGUGCUUGUAUGUAGGCUUUACCAUGCAUUUGAUGAAUAUGGAUUAUCUUUAUCUUAUGGUAUGUUAUGCAAUGUUGCAAUUAAUUCAAUGAUUGUAUGCACGACUGAAACAAUCUUAGAGACAUGGUCAUGAUUGAAGCUUGGCAUGGAGGUUCAUGGUGAGAACUUGAAGAAAUCCAAGGCUUACUUGCUCAUAAAGAAAGGUUUUACCAUGGAAUCAAAUGGAAUGAAUGCAAGGAAUGACGACACAAUGGAUCAUUAGGAUUAGGAAUGUGUAAUUUUAGGUCAGUUGACUUUGGUCAACUGGUUGACAAAAAAGUCAACAGUUGAACAAAAGUUAAUUGUAGGUCAAAUUUGUUUUUUUUUUGUAUUUUUAUAUGGACCUUGUAAAAUGAUACUUGUAUGGUUAAAUGAGCAAAUUUGAAUGGAAAUACCCCUUCGAUUCAAUGAAACAUGCCUUUGAUUCAAAUUAUGACUUUUCCCCAAAAUCCAUAUUUAGAUCAUAGUUUGAAAUGAAUGAACCAUGAUCUUUAAAAAACUUGACCAAUAUGGACUAUGAAUGCAUGAUAACACAUGAACCAAUGGACUAUGAAUAUUUACCAUGAAUCAGGAACAAGUGGACUUAGAAUACACCAUGAAUCAAAGAUCAAUAGACUAGGAAACAAGAACCAAUUCACUAUGGAACAUGGACUAAUGCACAAUGAAUGCUCCACGAAGCAUGAAGUCAAUGGAAUAGGAAUGCAUAAUGGAACAAGACCCAAUGGACCAAAAAUGAAACAUGAAACAUGAAACAAUGAAUGCACCAAUAACUUGAAUCAAUGGACUAUGACAUUUGAAUGAAACAUGCCAUUUAUGAGGACCUUGAAUGUAUUAAGAAUCAUGAGCCAAUGGACUAUGAAGCAUGGAUCAAUAGACUGAAUGCACCAUAGACCUAGAAUUAAUGGACUUGAAUGGAAACUAGAAUGCAACAUGACUUGAAUGAAAGCUUGAACAAUGCCUUGGAUUAGAUGGAUCAUCAAGCAUGUAGGUAUGUAAAUCCAAUGGUCAACUUGAUGAAUUAUUCCCAAGAAUAAUAGUACACUUGAUGAUUGAUGAUGCAUACCAUAAUGAUCAAGAACCACACUCCAAUGAAUUAGGUUUUUAGUCAAUCAUAAGACCAUAUUAUCCACCAAUACCAAAUAUCCAUGAUUAGGGUUUCAUGAUGCAAACCAUCUAAUCAAAGAACUCAAACAAACAAGAAGCUCCACAAUCAAAUCUCCAACAAAUGGCCCCAAGAUUAGGGUUUCAAGAUCAAACCCAAGCUCAAAAGGCAAACCACAUAAUCCAUGAGUAGCAAAGACCAAGAACUAGGGUUUUAUGCAUAAGUAAAUACCAUGAUUGCAAUUUUCAUGAACAAAGGUCCCAAGAAAUAAGAAUUAGGGUUUUACCCCUUGAUUCCAUAUUGAUUGUACCACCACAAUCUCUAAGGCUUGAUCCUCAAGUAAACCCUAGCUUUUGUAAAGUAUAAUUAACCACAACCUUUGAAUCUAUGAUGUAUGUUUAAGAGUGCUAACAUGAAUAAAUGAUGCACUUGUAUUUGGUAUAAAUAAGUGCAGAUGAAUCUCAAACCAUAAGUCAGAUGAAAAGUGAAAAGGGGAGGGAAAAUUUUUGGGGUAUGACAACAAGAAGAAAAAAGAGACUGAUUUUUGCUUCGUCUUCAUCGUCCAAUUCAUGCUAAUUAUGUUACCGCAUUGUGGUUCAUUGUCCGUGGAUCCAAACCCCUAGGGUUUGGACUCCAAAUUGCUUCAGUUCAACGUUUGAUUUCUGAUUUUAGUAGUUUAUGGCUCAUAAGUGUUUUGCUUUGGUUUAAGGGAUGAGAGAAGAAUCAUGGAAACGAAUUGUGGAUUAUGGAAGAGGGGACUAGGAAGAUUGAUUUGAUGGUUGAUUAAAGGUUUUGGACCUCCGCCGCCGCCAGAGGUGAUUUCCGGCGCGACUGAGUUUUUAACUCUUGUCUCACAUUCUGAUAACGCGUUUUCAAACAAGAAACAUGAUUGAGAUAUCCAGACAUCUCCCCACUCUAUUGGCCUCCUUGAUAUAGGCUUAGGGCCCUUGGGCCCAUUGAAGUUCCUUCAUAAGCCCACUAUUUCUUGCGUAUACCCCCUCCUGGAUUGACACUGCCUUGUGUUGGGCUUUGCUUUGUCAAGCUCAAUCCAAAUGAUUCAUACAUCCUACUGAUGACAACACACCCCUUGCCUAUUCUUUAUUAUUAUUAUUAUUAAUUGGUUUUUUCAAUAUUCUUUUUAAUAAAAUCUUUUAUCACAUAUUACAUGGAAAAUACUUCGAAUAAUAAUGUUAACACUUAGAUUUUUAGAUUUUAUAUUUUCUUACGAUUUAAAAUACGUUUAGAAUUUUAGAAAUAAUAAUUAGAAUGCACUCUAGUUUAGAGAAUUACCCAUUAAUUUUUUAGAAUAAUCUUCAAUUAGAUUGUAGAAGUUAAAUAACAUGUUCAUUGGAUUUUUGGUUAAAACUUAAUUGUGUAGUUGUGAACUAAUGUUAACCUUAGAGGUUGAAAUACAUGAUUAUUACCUUUUAAUCCCUUUUUUACUUUGGUGCAUGUUAAUGCUUGAUGCUAAAAAUUAAUCAUGAUUAGUCUUAGGAAUUAAUUUUUAAGUAGAAUACAUUAUAAUUUAUUUCCUUUUCUUUUGCUUUUGUUUGUAUGCAUGGGUCAUGGUUGUGAAUGUUGCUUGAUUUCUUCUUACCAUUUGAUUUAUUCUCAUGUGCAUGAUUUAAUUUUAUGUACGGUGUAUGAUUAUCCCCCAUAUUUGGACAAAAUGUACCCCACUCCCAUGAACAUAUAACACUUUUAUCACUUUCCAUUUUAUUCCUCUCAUCACUUGUUAACUAAGAAAUAAUCAAAAGCGAUCUAAAAAGAACAUUUUUCAAAAGAACAUAAAUAAACUCGAUUAAACGUCAAGUGUUUUUAAAAAUCAAAUUCAAUUGAAUAUAACGCAUGUGCUUGAUCCAACGUCAAGUACAUCAUCCAUUUAAUUCACAAUCUUCAUAUUCAACUAGAAACACUUGAUCCAAAAUCAAGUCAUUUUCAAAGUUUUACAAUAAACCAGAUGGAAAAGAAUGGGGUGUACGUACUUGUGCACACCAUUUCUUAAGUACUUGGGUUGUCGACUGUACUUAACUUGUGGCCCAAUGUUUAUCUUCCAUUCAAAACACUUAACAAUAAAUGGCCUUUCCAUUUCACAGUUCCUACGAAAAUACUUAAAUGAAAAUUAGUAAUACAUAAAGACAUACACAAAUAUGGACGCAAACAGAAUCGGACCACAUAAACAUAGUUGCUCACAAACAUCAAAAUAACAAUUUCACAUAACAAAUUAAAAAAAAUCAAACAUAGUUGCUCACAAAACAUCAAUAUAACAACAACCAGAAGAGAAUCAGAGUAGCUCACAAACAUCAAAAUAUGAAGAAGAAAAAAAUGAACACGAACACAAAAGCGAACACAUACUGAAAUAUAAAGUUUCAAACUUUUAUCGGGUAUACCAAUAAGCAUUGCGUUAUAGGCUCAAAAUUAAUAACCUAGAAAAUGAACAAAUACAUGAAUAAUGAAGAAGACGGGACACUUGUUGGUAAAAUCAUUUGCAAAGUUCAUUUUGUUCAACCGGGAUGUUGAGUUUAUUAGUAUCAAAAUGAAAAAAAAUACAAAACAACGAUGAAGUGGAAGAACAAAUAAGAUCGAAAUCAGGCUGGUGCGAAACUAUCAAACGUCACCUUAAGAUUGAGUGGAUGGUGAAGGAGAGAGAAAGUAGUUUAAUAUUUUUGGGAGAAAGUACAAAUUUUUAUUUUAAAGGGAUAUAUGAAAAGGUUGAACUUUGGUUUAUGUGAUAAAGUUGAAUCAGAUAGUGUCUUUGUAACCAACCAAACCAAACCAAGUUGCAAUAUAAGGUAAGAUGGAAGUAAAUAGAAUAACUAGUAACCUAACAAUGCAAAUUAUGGUAGUUUGUUUGCAAAAAGUAAAUUUGGGACACAAAUUAACCUCAAAUUGGUGACAUGGCAUUAUUAUAGACGGGGGAAAGUUGUAUUUUCCACAACAUCUUCUUUUCUUAUAUUAUAGAUGUUUCAUUAUUAAUUUUUAAUAUUCAUGAUGCUUUUAUAAUAUUUUUAGGUUUCAUGCGAAUCACUAAUGGAAGUGUCUUGAGCGUUGAUACUCAUUAAAUAGACCACAAAGAUUUGUUUAAGGACGGAGAAAGGAAUAAAUAAACACGCUUAUAUUUUCCCUUGAUUAUUACUCAAAACCGAGGUAAAACGUGUUUCUUUUUAAAUAAAAAAUACAAAAAAAUAUAUGUUUCAUCCCAAACGCCACAUACCUCUCGAUUUCUAUAAAAAAAAUAAGGGAUGUAAGCUUUUUUAAAAAAUAAAUAAAUUAUUUACACAGAAUAUUAAAAUAAAUUGUUUAAACAAAUCUAGAUUUUAACAAUGGAUUCUUGGAGAACAACAAAUAUUUUCAAGUUAUUCUUGGAGGAUAACAAAUCUUUGUUAUUAUCCAGAUUUUGUUGUCUAUCAUUUGUGUGCAUUCUUUUCAAGUUCAAUGGAUUGUAUGCAUUGUUGAUUGUAAUUUUAAGUGUCGGGUUUUUGUUAUCGUCUCCACGGGGAUUGUGAGAUAUCGCCGCCUUUCGACAGUUGUUUUAAUUCUUAGCUUAAGGUAACAAUGGUUUUUGGUUUUAGUCACGGUANGGUCACAAAAUGGGUAUACCGAGUCGUGUUGAGUCAUGCAUGGGUGUGUGCAUUGCAAUUGAUGUGUUGUUUUGUUGAUGUUCAUGAGUUGUGAUUAUAAUGAUGAUGAUUGAUGAUGAACUGUGUUGACAUGUGUGCAAUAUGUUUAUAUUAUAUUCUGUCGUUAUAUUAUUGUUUAAUAAUGAAAUUCUCACCCCUUCUGCAUGUGUUUAUGUUCAUCUAUGAUGAGCAAUGUGCAGAUAAUGAAGAGUAGCUUUUGUUGAGGUUUGAAGAAUAAGUGUAGAGUUAUUCUACAGAGUCGAGUCAAAUGCUCUGGUCAUGUGACACCGGGGUUAUGGGAUUCGAUAGAUAAACGAGUUAUGAUUUACGUUGUCUAUGAUAUUUAAAUGUUAAGAUAUUUUAUGAAUUGUCAUAUGAUGCAUGACAUAUUCCUGAUGUUGUCCGCUGCGAAAUUUUAGCAAAAUAAAUAAUAAUUUUAUUCUCUGAUGUGAUAAGUAUUAUAUGAUGUGAAAUGUAAACUCUUCUACAUGUUGUACUCUGAUAAAUUAAUUAAAUAUGUCGUUUGGGUAGAAGGGUGUUACAAAAGCUGCACACUAAACCAAACAAAUUACAAGCACAAGUCAAAAAUUUAAAAAUUAAGCAACUAUUGUGAUGCUCGCAAUAUCAAUUCACAAUCCCCGGCAACAGCGCCAUUUUGUUGAUUGUAAUUUUAAGUGUCGGGUUUUUGUUAUCGUCUCCACAGGGAUUGUGAGAUAUCGCCGCCUUUCGACAGUUAUUUUAAUUCUUAGCUUAAGGUAACAAUGGUUUUUGGUUUUAGUCACGGUAUCUUGCAUAAAAGUGUAAGAAAAUGAGGUAAAAGAUUUGGUUUUAAUAUUUGAGAAAUAUUGCCAAAGUUAGGGUUCGACAAUCACUUUGCAUGCAUAUGUUCGAUCAACAAUACUUAUAAACUCCUUUAGAUGAUAAACUAUUUCACAAAGUCCUCCCAAUGUGUUUAUCUCUAACACACAUUGUGGGUUUUCCCAUUUUGAUCCAUUGUUUAUCUCUAACACAAUCUAUCAAAAUGACAACUUUUUGGUUUCAAACUUUAUGGUGAACAAAAUCAUUCAUUACUAUCUCUGCUAACAAAUAAGAUUGGAUGAAAACCUAGGUAAAGAGUGGUUAAACAUCUCUCGAUCUAAACCAACACAAAGAGUUAUCGAUAAAACAAAUUUUUCACCAUAUAUCAUCAUUAAAGAGUUUACAAAUGAAGAUCAUCCCAUUUACAACAAAGCUAAUUGAUAUCUACAUCUAACCUUGACAAAUGAAGAACUUAGCUACUCAUUUUUCAUGGUAGUUUGGCUCACAAAGUUUCGGAAGAAGGUUGAUCAACAUCCGAGUCGAAUAAUCGAGAUGGAUGGGAAUCCACCUUCUUUUUGUGAAAGAUGUUAAGAGAUGAAGAGAAAUGAUAAAAUGGGUUUCUAGGUCACAAAAUGAUCCAAAAGCAAUGCAGGAAAAUAUCUAGAAAAUCUAAGGUGUUGUCCAAAAAGUAGCCCUUGCUACUUAAUACUAUGGUCUGAGCUGUCAUGCUCGCUAGGCGAGCAGAAUGGCUCGCCUAGCGAGCCCCUAAAAUAGGCACCAGAGGCACCUGCGCCCAGAAAUAUCUAACUUCAGACUUCACAUGUUCGCUAGGCGAACAAAACCUUCGCUAGGCGAACAAAACCUUCGCUAGGCGAAGCCCACGCUUCCACCUUCGCUCCAGCGAGCUUAGGAGGUUUUGCUACUGGAAUUGCUCGCUGGGAGGUCGCUAAUGGCUCGCCUAGCGAGUGAGUGCUGGUUGCGCUUUUGACUAAGUCUGAACGUGUUCGCUACCACGUUCGCUGGCUGCUCGCCUAGCGAGCAUGCUGAUGAAUGCUUUCUUUUUCUUGGUCCCUUGCCAUUUUCUUAUGCCUUCAUUUUCAAUUAUUUCAUGCCUAAUUCCUGCGCAGUAACACACAAAUCAAAGGUACCAAGAUCAUUUAACAUUGUAUUGCGAUUCAUCUAAAACAAAGGCGGUUUCGAACGCUUUAGCAACAAAAAGGAGUGGAAAAUGCCCACAUUUGAUAGCUCAAAUAAGCACUUUUGGGCAUCUAACAUGCAUCCAAUUUUUGAUAAGUUAUUUGUUCCUACCAUGAUAAUUUAUUUUUAAACUUGCAAUCCAUCCUAGAGAUCUGUUCAAAGAUUUCAUUAUCUUGAGCAAAUGUUUUCAUGACAAAUGCUUUCACAAGAAAGAUAACAAGAUACACGUACCUGCAAUUUACAACAUGUUUAAGAAUAAAUUCCUCAAUAUUGUCAACCGAGAAAAACAAUAAAUCUUGGAGUGUUUUCUUUGAUUGACAACAUAGGAAGGUUAUUCCAAAAAUAAAAACAACAACAUUAACACCAUUAUAUUAUGAUGGAUGUAAGAGCAGAAAAAAUAUUGACAAAAUACCCUUUUUGGUCCCUUAACUAUGCCCUUAGGUUUAGAUUAGUCCCUUAAUUUUUUUCGUGUCAGAUUGGUCCCUUAACUCUUUAAAACUUAUCAUGUUAGUCCUUUUCGUCUAAUUGGCGACAGAAAAAUUCAAAAAUCGGUCGCUAAAUCCGCCGCUAAUUAGGCAAAAAGGACUAACUUAACACAUUUUAAAGAGUUAAGGGAUCAAUCUAACACAAAAAAAAAAUUAAGGGAUCAAUCUGAACCGAAGGGUAUAGUUAAGGAAUCAAAAAGGGUAUUUUACCAAAAAUAUUUUAUUCAAGAUAGAAGAACAUCAAAGAUUUUUCCUGUCUUGCAAUCCAUCCCAAAGCCUGAUGCAUACAAGUUUGGAGUGACUACAUAUAAGUUAGGUUUAUGAUAAAAUCUGAUUAGCGAAUGCUUUUAUAUUAAAAUUUGAUUAUGUAAUCCCUCAAUUAUUAAAGAUAAUUAAAGGAUUAGAUCAUUAAUUUAUAAAAAAAGAAAGAAAGACACCACUUUUAAAGAAAUAAAAAUAUAAACUGCUAUUGUUGGGAUUCGAAGCAUGUCCGGUCUGUAAUUAUUUUCCCUUCAAUUAUAUUUAGAAACCGAGGAAUUAUGUGGUAUUUAAUUUUUUUAAAAAUAAAACAUAGCGCGUCUUGGUUAUGUCGAUUUUUUGUUGGGUGGGUGAAAGCUUUGUCAUAAAAUAUAUUAUUUGUAGUAGUGUUCUUGUGGAAGUCCAAUAGUUUAAUUACCCCGUAGGGUGACAAGGAUCUUCUUGUGGAAUUUCAACAAUUUCAUUACCCCAUAGAACGACCAGGAUGUUCCUAUCGAAGUCCAACAAUUUAAUUAUCCCGUAUGACGGCAAGGAUCUUCAUAUAGAAGUUUAACAAUUUAAUUACUCUAUAUGGCAGGAAGGAUCUUCCCAUGAAAGUUCAAUAGUUUUAUUACCCCAUAGGGUGGCAGGGAUCUUCUUGUGGAAGUCGAACAAUUUAAUUACCACCGUAAGGCAAAAAGGAUAUACUUUUGGAAGUCUAUCAAUUUAAUUAAGGCGACAAGGAUCUUCCUGUGAAAAUUCAGCAAAUUAGUUUCGACAGUCAAACCAUAAUAACUUGUUAAAAAUAUCUUAAUCUUUUACAAGAGUUUUCAUACAUAGGCUUUGUUGCACGAUACUCUUUGAGUUCCUAAUAGAAGAUUCAAGGUAUCUCUUCUCUUGGUGAACUUGACAAGUGUCUUUUGAAGAUCGAAAAUUUCAUUUUUCAAAGUAUCACAUUCAUUAUACUUGUCAAGUUCAAUUUGUCUUUUUGUAAGGAUUUAUAUUUAUUUCUCAAGGUUUUUAUUUUUAAGUUCAAGAGAGGAAAUAAUAUCCUUGGAUGUGGAGACAAUUUGUUCCAAUUUGUUUGUUUCUUUUGUUAGUUUCUUACAAAUGCAAAAAACAUUAUGAUAAGAAAAGUAUGAGGUUACCUCAUAAUCUUGAUGAUUUACCAUGAGAUAGAUAUUGGCUUCUUCUUCAUUGUAUGAGGUUUCCAUAUCACUGUCUUCCCAUGAAGCAUAAUCUUUCUUUCCAUUUUUAUGAGUUUUCUUAUAUUUGUUUUUAUUUUUAGUUUUUUGCUAAGGGAAAUUUUGGCCCGAUUUGUCUUUUGUUUCCACAUAAGUAACAUGUUGGGAUGAAUGAGGCUUUCUCCCUAUCAUUGUCUUGUUCCUCUCUUUGUUUCUUUUCAUGCCUCAAGAAUCUUUUGAAGUUCUUUACUAUAAGGGACAUGUCACUGUUAGAGUCAGAUUCCUCUACUUUGAGUGCUAGACUUUUGUUUUUCUUUUCUCGUUUAUCAUCUAUGACAAGUUUUUUAAGUUCCAUCUCGUGUACAUGUCAUUUAAAAAAAAUAUUUGUGUGUCCAUAGUUGCUAAAUCCUUAAUGAUUAUUGGGUUUCCAACUACGGUUUAGGCAUCUAAGAAUUUUUACAACUAGUUCCUCGUUUGAAAGUGUUAUUUCCAGAGUUCUCAUAUGACAUAUGAUAUGGGUAAAUUGCCACUACUACGUAAAUGCUCUUUCACCACUGUGGAAAAAGAGAUACGAUCAUAUGACCGUGAUGACAAACUAUGUCGCACGCUACAUAUCACAAAGGUUAUCUCAAACAACCGUGGUGAAAUAUAUUAAGGUCGUGGACUUGAUUCCCAACCAUAAUAUGAUAUAUAAUAAUUGACAUUCUAGCUAUCACCAUAGUGUCUUAUUAUCUGUGGUAAAAUACUUUUUUUAAAAAUAUUCUUUUUAAUUAUUCCAUUUAUGUCCCCCUUUUUAGUACUUAUACGCUAUAUUUUACCACAAUAAAACCAACAAAUAUGCAUAUUUUUGUAACCAAAAUAUGACUAUAAAAUAUUUCCAUCAAACUCAAAAAUACAACAAAUAUAUAAUUAUAAAAUAUAGCUAUACCAAAAUGUAACCCGCCUAAAUAUUAUUUACAUUCAACAUAAAAAAAUAAUAAACUUAUAUUACAAACUUAUGUAUGAUCAACCUUACCUAUAAAACGUAUUGAAAAAAAAUAUCAAACAUGCAUAAACAUCUUUAACGUCUUUUUCUGAUAAUGAUGUAGUGUUACUAAAAAAUACAAUAAAAAAUACACAACUAAUAUUUGUUAUUAGUAAAAAGACACAACAAAUACUAUAAUUUUGUUGAUUAAUAUAAAAAAUAUUAAUACGACACAAAUAUUUAUCAUUGAAGCAUAAAAAAAACACAAGAUAAAUAUUUGAAUGACAAAAUAAAUCCGCUUCAAAUCAAAUACAAAUAUAAAUCAAAUAAAUUUUUCAUAAAAUAAUAACAAGAAAAUUUGCACAAAAAUAAUUAGAGGAUGAUGUCAUAGAACUAGAUCCAGAAUCCAUUAUGAUAUAAGAAAUAUAAUAUUUUAUUAAUAUGAUAAUAAGGCAUACAUGAGAACAAUGCUACAACAACACAACAUAAGCCAUAUAUAAUAAUUCAAACACGUUUAAAGGAAGUGAGAUUCCUUAAGUGUUUCAAUGGCUGAUCCGACACAGCAGCUUCAUAAUUGUUAGAAGAUGAACCGUCUUUGGCAGAAAGAGUGAGGUGGUAGUUGGUCCCAGCAACAACCUGUGAUUCACCUUUGAUAAGUUUCUCAAACUCCAAUGUUGCUCCUUUUUGUUUGUUGUACUCGACAACUGCGAAACGGGCUAUUUCAAUCACAUAUGGAUCAAUGAUGUUCUUUAUGGGAGUCCAACCGCCUAGUAUAGCUUGAUUCAGAGUGGCCGAAGCAAACAAAAUAAGGAAGAGGAGACUUAGGGAUUGAAAUCUCAUGAUGUCUGUUAACUUGAGAAAUCAAGAUGGUGUGAGUAAAACUCUGUGGUGUGGAGUAGUUAUAUAUAAUGUACAAAAG